CUAUUUGACUGGGUUAAUGAGGAGCAUAAGAGUAACUUCAAGCCUUGGCGAUGUGUCAACAAGCCCAACACGAACAAGUUAGGUCAUUAAAGUAUCAAGCCGAAAAAUUCAGCUCGUGUAAUGAGUCGAAUAUGGGUUGGCUUACGAACAACAACUUAAAAGAAAUAUAAAGGAUAUAGACUAGGGCUACUAUACUCUUAUGAAUAUUAACCCUUUUGUACUCAUCAGUUUUCGGUCGUUGGAUGAAGCGAUAUGCGGUUAGAAUGAUAACGGUCCCUGGUUAGAAUAAUAGUGAUUAAUUCCCUAGGAUUGAGUGGAUGGUUGAUUGAAUAAUAUGAUUUAACGGCUGAAAAUAGUCAAAGUGUGUGGUAGAUCUAUCAUAAAAAAAUUUAUGAGUGCAAAGGGGUCUAUACUCAUAAGAGUACAAUAGCCGAACUAAAGGAUAUAUAUAUAUAUAUAGAGAGAGAGAGAGAGAGAGAGAGAGAGAGAGAGAGAGAGAGAGAGAGUGGGCUGGUAUGCUUAUGGUCCUCCGUGCUUCCAAGUUGUUUUCGAUGUUCGGACUUUCGAAUCGACGAUCGGCUCCAUUAGAGUUAAUCUAGAGUAUUUGAAGUACCUAGAAAAUAAAUUUUGUGAUUUUUCGAUAUCAUUUGCCUAGUGAUCGAAGUGGCUCAAAAUCAACGGCUGAAAAUAAAAAUCUUACAAAAUAUGAUGAUAUGACAUUAAAAUUUUAGAUCAAAGUUAUUGAUCUUGUUUUAUAUGGUAUAAAGNAUAUAAUAAAUUCAUGGAUCUUACCUAUUAGAUUUUGAUCUAAUAGUUGAAACUUUACGUAUAAACAGACAUUUUUAUAACUGAAUUAGACUUUUAUAUUUAGGCUAGAUUAAAAAUCAAAUAAUAAAAAAUCUAUAUUAUAUAUAUAUAUUAUAAAAGAAAAUAUAAAAUAUAUGUAUUCCAACUGUUGUCGAGCCGAAGGCGGGUGAGCUAACCCUAACGCAUUCAGGACGUUUAUUACACAAGCUAAAUGUUUACUGAACAUGCGAUUCGAUCUGGAGCUCAUUUCGAGCCGAAUAUGAGCUGGCUCACAAACAGCGCACCGAAUUGCCACCCCAAAUUAAGACUAUUGAGUUUAAAUAGCCCAUUUAAUUGGCCUAUUUAAACUCUGAUUUGGGUGUGGUCCAGAAUUGGGCCCAUUAGCUGGUUUUAACCAGUGAAUAGAGCCCAAGAAUCAAUCUGUAAUUAUGAAAACUUGAGGGUGAUCAUUAAACUAGUAUUACUUUCUCAUUUUAACUCCAUUCCAGAUGAUAUGGAUUUGUUAUCAAAUUCCUCUCAUGGCUGUGGGAUCAAUUCAACUUGGGAUGUCAAUGGGUACAGGUACCCAAAAUUUUAUUGGAACCUAAAUCCGAACGGAGCGAAUUUAUCCGAUUAAUGAAAAUGUAUAGUAGGUCAUAAAUACAAUUGCAACUAUCGAUCUAUGAGUAAAUUAUGUUACACAUUAAAUUUUUUAAUAAACACAAUUUUUAUAUGAAACUCGUAAUAAAAUAUACAAAGAGUACAAAACACCAUCUUAUUUUCUCACAUUAUAUAUUAUCUGUUACCAACGUUUGUCUCCUUAAAAAAAAGUCCUUACCUCUCCACACAUAUUAGUAGUAAAAAAAAAAUCUAUAUUUUUAACUAUAUAUCAAGAAACUUGAAAAUAGGGGAAUAAGAUGUUGAAAUAUUCGGAUGGAGAAUAAGCUAUUAGGAUAUAAUAUUGAUUUAUGAAUAUAAAAUAUAAUACAAUUAAAAAAUUUUGAUAUCUAUGGCCCUGUUUGGCCUACCUUCUAAAAAAGUGAUUCCUAAAAAAGUGAUUUUGGUUUGGAUAAGUGAUUUCUGUUAAAAGCUGUAGAGCGUUUGGCUGAGUCUGGUAGAAAAGUGAUUGUGCUGAAGUGAUUUUAGAAAGCUGUUUGGCAAAUUUUUUUACUGAAGUGAUUUUGUAAUGCUAUUUAACAUUAGUUUUUUUUAAAACUAACUAAUACCAUAUACCAAUAUUUCAAGUUAUCAAUAACUAUUUAAUACAACAAAAGUGUAUAAUGAUAAAUAUCCAUUAGGAUAACAAUUUAUCUAAAUGUACUCAUCAAUAAUGCAGCAAUACGAUCGCGAGUUUAGGUCAUGAUGUAAUCAUCUGUUACUCCACUAUAAGUCUGUGUUGAACUACUUGUACUGCUUUCAUCUUCUUCAAUGUUGAGCAAAUAAUUUAUAUCUUGAUCACAUUUGUUGAACUCUUCAUCUUGCGUUGAACUCAUCCUAAUAAAGUUGUGAAGCGCCAUAGUUGCAGACACUAUUUUUGAUUGAGUUGGCACUGGAUAACCUUGCAUCAUUUGUAAUAUACGCCACUGUGCUUUAAGUACACCAAAUGAUCGUUCAAUAACAUUCCUCAAGGAUGACUGUGCAUGAUUAAACACUUCUUUAUAACCUCGUGAUUGAGACCCCCGUCUAAAUUCAGGGAAUAUAAUAUCUCACAUCUCCGUCAGUAUAAGGUCUUAAAUAUCCUUUUAUAUUGGGAUACCCUGCGUCUACAAGAUAGUACUUACCUACACAUAGAUAGAAAAUAAUAAAAACUAUUAGAUAAUUGUACUACAAAAAUAUAAAUAUAACUUACUAUUUAAAAAACAAAAACUAAACUAACCUUCGGGAGGAUGUGAAAAUAUAUGACCAUAGUUAUUCAAAGUAGUAGUGAAAAUUCGUGCAUCAUGCGUAGCUUCCGGCCAACCGGCAACAACAAAUGUAAAUACCAUAUUGAAAUCACAAACAACUAUUAUAUUUUGCAUUGGAUAAGGCUUUCUACCAAUAUAUGAAAUUUGAUCUUUUUUAGGUAUAACAGCAUAAAUAAGUGUUCCAUCAAUUGCACCAAUAGCUAAAAAUUAUAAAAAAAACAUACAGUAUGAAUAAGCUAAAAAUUAUAUUUUGUACUAACCUUUAAUUUCUCCUCCCACCAUUCAAGACUGGCAUCAAUGGUACCCCUUGCAUGAUUUCAUCCUAAUCCUGUCUCUUUACCGACUAAUUGCAUCCAUAAAACCCAAUACCUUUUAAGAGAAUCCCAUUUAUUUUUCAAUUGUAUUUUGUCAUAAGCUCUAUUUGCUUUCUCUCUAAAUUUAUUAACCACAUUUUGCCAUCCAAUUCGAUUCAAAUGAGUAUUAGGUCGGUUCCCGACAUUGACCUUUUCAACACAUAUUUCGCAAAAAAUUUUAAGCAACGUUGCAUCCCACGUAGAUUUAAUUUUUUUUUCUUUUUUGGGUAGAUGGUUCUCCUUGUGAUGAAUUCAUCUUUCAGAUUUCUAGUAAACAAAUAUGUAUUAAAAGAUAAAUACAUAUAAAAAGUCACUAAAUAAUUGAUACAUUCAUACUAUAAAAAUUUCACAAAAUAAUCGUUGGAAAACAAAUUCCUAGAUGCAUGCAUUCAUUUCCCUUCCAACACAUAUUGUACUCAACAGUUGAGUUGUACCCAUUGAAUUUGUUGGGUAUUGCAGGUAUAGGCCUAAAAGUGAUUUUCAUAGGUUGGCCAAACAGGGUAUCCAUGGAUUGGACAACAACUAACCAAAGAACUUUACCAAUGUUAAUAAUUUAAAAGCACUAUCUGUUUUCUAAUUGUGGAAAUUAGCUGUAGAAACACAACCACCUAAAAUGGAGGUCAUGAUGCAAGAAUGGUGGAACACAUAGAAAAUUUAGUUUCAGAAAAUCCAUAUAUUAAUGUUGUGGAGAACCCUAUAAUGCCAUUGUUGAUCUUUUUUUAACUUAAAGAUCAUGCUCAUUUCUGAUAAUUAACAUGUCUGCUAAAGGUGGAGAUCAUGCAUUCGAUUCCCUAUGAUUUAUGGGACAUUUUGGAAACUAUUAUGAGGGACUAAACUUUUCACAAGCUUCAUGUGAGAUGGACCCGUCGGCACUGAUCCGGCCAAGUCGGCGGGAUCCAUCUUUGCCGGAUCCUGCCGGCGGGAUCCAUCUUUGCUGGAUCCUGCCGGCGUGAUCCAUGCCCAAAUCCGGCACAAAGGCGGAUCCGACGCUGGAUCCGGCAAAGCCGGAGCUCGCCGGCGCGGAUCCGGCCAAGCCGGCGGGAUCCGUCUUUGCCGGAUCACGCCGGCGCGGAUCUGGGGCCGGAUCUGGCGCCGGGCGCGGAUUAGGGAGAGAAAUCAAGAGAGGGAGGGAGAUAAAUCUGUAUGAAAAAAAAACUCUCCUUGGAAAAAAAAAAAAAGGGAGUACUUGGAGGUUCGCCGAAGAAAAAACUCGCCGGUGGAAAAGCCAUCGCCGGAGAAGAUAAAGGGAGAGAGAUGAAGAAGAGAGGAGAGGAGAGUGAUUAGAUGAAGAAGAAAGGAGAGAAGAGUGUUUUUUUUUUUUUUUUGGGAGUGAGAUGGUUGCGCCGUGAUAAUGGGAGAGUAAUGUUAGCAGAUGAUAUUAUUAAUUAAAAAGAAUAUGAUAGAAUUGUAUUGUUUGUUUAAGGCAAUUUCGGUAUUUUAGUAAAAAAUUUAAGUGGGGAAUAGCUUGUGCGGAAUCUAUUUUGAAAAGCAGGUUUUUUCAGCUUCUGCUUUUGGGGAAGCAGAAUCAGUUUCAGCUUUAGAAAGCAGAAUCAGAUUUUCAAAUACCUUACCAAACACUCUAGCUUGCCUAAAAGUGAUUUUCAGCUGAAAAUCACUUUGGAAUAGCUUGGCCAAACAGGGCCUAUAUCUAUAUCCAUUUUCAUUUGGAUAUUUAGAUACUUUUCUAUCUGAAUGCAGAUAAUAUCGAAUCACUAUCAGCAGAAUUACGUUAUAGGGACACAUGUUUAGGACACUUUUGAGUAAGUGUCCCAUUUACGCUAAACUUAAAAAACAUCUACUUAUGCCUAAAUAUAAAGCCCAAUCCAACCAAAAUAAAGAUUACUCUAACUUAACCCACACACCCAGUCCAUUUGACUCGAUUACAAACAGAAGAUAAAAAAAAAAGAAAAAUCAAUUACCAUCUUUUCUUCUCUCUUCACUCAAUCCAUUGAAAUUCUAGACGAAGAGCCUUUCUUGUCGUCCUCCUCCGUCAUCGCAGCCAAUGAGAUAGAGUUUCGGCGUUUGCUAAAUGCUUAAAUAAGUGUUGGUAAAUUAGCAACACUCUUUUAGGUUAUAGCAACACUCUUUAACUGUCACUAUAUACUUAGCGACCCUACAUAUAGCAACACUUUUUAAAAGUGUCGGUAAUUUUAGCUAGCAGCACUUUUUUGACAUGUACCUACAUUUAAAAGUGUCGCUAUAGACCGUUUUUGUUGUAGCGAAUAUGGAUGUGGAUGUUUGCAAAAAAUAUUCUAUCUAUUUUUUAAUGUUUUUUAAUUUAUACUUUUAUUUAUCUUAAAUUUAGAGUUAAAAAUUAAUAAUAUAUUGAAUAAUGUUGUGUGUUUUUCGACUUUUGAUUAAUUCAAAAUUAAGUAUGUGUUUUAAACUAACGCUACAGCAGAAUUAGGUUAUAGAGACACAUUUUUGGGACACUUUGUGUAAGUGUCUCAUUUAUACCAAUUUUUUUAAAAAAAGUUUACUAAGGCCUAAAAAUAAAGCACAAUACCAUCAAAGACAAAAAGUGCCUCUACUCAACCAACCCCUCCCAGCCCACUCGGCCCGAUUACAAAUAGAAAAGGGAAAAAAAAAAGAUCACCAUUUUCCCUUCUCCUCCUCCGCCGCCACAGCCGACGAGGUACGGUUCUGACGGUUAGAGUUCGGCCGCGAGGAUCUCGCAGGGACUGUAAAGGGCUUCGAUUGCCACGUGUCCCUCCGCCACAGGUCGCUGGAGGAGUGGGUGCCAAACAUCAAGGCGGCCCCACAUAUAGCACCCAUAUGUAGCAACACUUUUAAAAAAAUGUCGAUAAUUUAGUCAGCAGCACUUUUUUUUAGCUAUACCGAUAUUUAAAAGUGUCGCUAUAUACCAUUUUUGUAAAUCUAUAUUUAAAUUUAUUUUUUUCUUAAUUGGUUAGAUCGAUCAAAUCCUAAUUUGAUUCGACUUGAACUUUAUUCUAAUUUGAUCAUAUCAAAUUAAUAAUACAAUAUUUGUAUAUAAGUCCUCUCAUAAUUUACUAACUGUUGUUAAGUCCUCUCUUAUAACAUUUAUACUUUAAUACCACUAAUUUGUAACAAUUACAAAGUAGUCCAAUUAUCAACAUAUUGACAAUUAGGUCAUUCGACGAUUCUAAAAUCACUAUCUAGCUAUCCGAUCAGUCACAACCUUUUAUAUAUGUGACCUCAUAGGUUCUAUUCUAUCUGGUAGUGAGAUAUACUCUGAUCACUAUCAACAAUAUUACUGAAACUCCUUUCAGUGGAUUGGAACAAUUCCAACUCAGCCCAAUGAGAAUUAUCGAUUAUUUAGAUAAUUCUCAUGAGUCUCACAUUCCACCAGUGAUGCCAAACAGUAUGUAGUGUUAUUUCAGUAGAAUGGAAUACUGAACAUUUUGGUGCAGUUACCAUGUGAUACAGCCCUUCUAUCAUGAGUCCCAACAAGAUGGAGGUCAUAGAAUAGCUCGUCAAAUCUCAUCGUCUGUCAUAUGUCAAAUUUAUUCGACUCGAGUUUAUAAUAUCGAAAACUUUUUUUGCUAUUAACUCUACCUUGACCAAGGCCUUCUAAACUUAGUCUCAUAAAUCACAUAGGACUAAUGCCCCUAUCUACCAAGGGAGAUAGAUUCCAUAUAGGUGCACACCCUAUUCUUACAAUGAACCUACUGCUGCCAACAUGCACCGCAAGGACCCAAAUGGCUAGGGACUAAGUGUAUGUACAGUAAAAAUAUAGAAACUCAUUGUGAAUAGUCGAGGUACCGUAGGUCAACGGACCAGUCACGCUACUGCAACAUUGAGUAAGUCACCGAUAAGUGAGUAUACAUCCAAGUGACUUCUGGCAUUGGUCACACCGGAUACCCUUGUUCUCUAACAACCACCUACACAUUCGCUCCAGUGUUCCCACACUGUUGACUUGAGAUCCAUCUACCCAAAACGGGAAACGACCUGUGUACUAAUCUCACCAGAUUAAUCACCGUCCCCGUGAUGAUCUAUCGAUCGGGAGCAUUUAGGAAUUAACCACCAAUGACACAUGUCUCAAAUUCUCAAAUCUUAAGAAUACGUAUUAUCAUCUCAUUAAUUUCUUGAACGAUUUAUGGACACAUGCACAACAUAAAUGAAAAUAAGAAUUCAAAUUUAUUCAUGAUAUUUAAAAUCAAAUACAAAUUUAUGUCCUAAAAAGAAUACAUGUGUCGGCCUGGUUGGCUUCUAGGACAAGCUUAGUGAAUUGCCAGAUGACAUACUGAUAUUCAUCUUGGAAAGAUUGGAUGUGAUGUCUGUAAUGGCAAAAGUUUGCUUUUCUCACGAUGGCACCAUCUCCGGAAGUCCAUCACUAACUUUGAGUUCUGGAUGGACUCUAUCAAACCCUCCAGUGAUCACCAAUACUUCGUCUUGUCUACGCGUCUUGUCUACACGAUACGAUGCAUGUGUUUUAAAUACAAGAAGGUCAGAUAUAUAAGAAUACCGAAGGUGUUUCUUCACACGAUUCGUCAGCAACUUCUUACAUGUGAAUCACAGUCUCAAACGACUUUGUCGCUAUUUUGAUGCAACGAAAAGUCAGAAGUACAGAAGAUCUGUUGACAAAUUGAUUUUUACCGCAAUUCAGGCAAGUGUUAAUGAGCUCGAAUUCUUUUCUCUUCAUUGUAGGAAUGCCUACGAGUUCCCGUGGCAGUUACUUGCCACUGACAGUAGCGUAUCCUUUUUAACCGAGUUGAAACUUAGUAAUUGUAGGUUAGGCAGCCAUUAUGAUUUCAGACGGCUUGGUUCGAUAUCGAGGCUUUGUCCUGCACACAUAGAUAUAUCUUAAGAAAUAGUGAGAGACAUUCUCCGGAAUUGUACAUGCCUGGAAAGCUUAACCCUUGAGUUUUGCCCUUCCUCAAUCGACUUAAAUAUAGCCUCUCCUGAUCUGCAACUCAGAGAGUUAGUUCUGCAAGUUUCUGUCAGAAUUAUAAACAUAUAAAUCUUUGCUCCCAAGUUCAGAAGGUUGCAAUAUUAUGGAUACUCUGCACAGUUAUUGUUCAAAUCCAUUCCUCGUCUUGAGCAUGUUUGGCUACAUUAUGCUAGCUUCGACGGUGCAAAGUACAUAUUUGAAAACCUCUUGCCUGAACUUCCAUAUGUUUCGUAUUUUGUUCUAUAUUUUAAAAGUCAAGAGGUUGGUCAUUAGAUGCUUAUCUUCUUACAUAAUAUAUAUUUAUGAAUUUUCCCUAUUCCUUUUAUAUUUUCCUUUUGGUUGCACAGAAGUUGAUGAAACCAAGGCUUUCUUCUCCCUUCAGCAGCCUCAAGGAUUUGACGGUGAAUGUCUUUACAAAUUGCAAGCAUAAUCUUAUUUCGAUAACUACAGUAUUUGAGGCUACACCUUUUCUGGAGAAACUGCCAACUGCUAUAAGAUUCUUUCCUUGAUUUCUACAGAUUAUCUAUCCUUACUUGCACGAUCGGCGGCAGUGCAGUCAAGAUGUGUUUAGUAUUUAUAAUUUUACAUACUUUUCAUAUUUUUUUAUGUUUUCCUCAUCUUAUUAAUGAUCUGUUUAUCAAUAAUGUGAAAUUGGUUAGUAAAUUUCCUCUUUAUAGUACAUCUGUAUCUUAGAUCCAAAAAAAUGACUUCUUAUUGUAUGCUUUUGCUAGCUAGUCGAGAAUUUAGCUUGUUGGGCAUUUUGUUGUUUUGUCUUUGCAGUUAACAUUUUCUUAUUGAAACGGUGUAUUACAUCAACUUAGUCUAAAAACAAAAGCUUUUAUAGUUACUUCAAUGUUUCAUCUUGGCAUACAGGUUUUCGUGUUUUGAGCCAUUCAAUGUAAUUACCCAAAUGAACCUGCUGUAAUAGGUAACAUUUAUUCAAGUACUUUUACUUUUUGAUUGGCAAAUGAAAAUCUUAUCUCUGGUCUGAUCAACAAUGGUUGUGUUUUUCGUCUUGUCGUAAAUGAUUCAGUUAAUUAACUUCAAAUUGUAUACGAUGUUGUGUUUGACAAUAAAAUUAUACAAGAAUACAUAGCCGAGCAUUGAGUAACCUUGUGUUAUAAUGCGCUAUACUUUAUAUUGGAUCUAAGAAGCAUGGUCAAUAUACAUUCAAUGUUUUCCUCAUGUUAUUGAAUGCUGUAACAUCUUUGACCUGACUCAUCUAUGUCAUGAAAUUGAUAACUGCUCAAGUUAUUAGUAUUGCUUCCCUGCUCCUUUUACAAAUUAAUGUAUAUUAAAAUGAUAAUUGCUCUGCUGUAUUGCAAGUUUUGAAAUUGGGUAGCAUCGAACAGGCGGGCAAUGGAGGAAGGAUAUUAUGCAGCUUUCAAAAGGUUUUUCGCACCAUCAUUUGAUGGAUGUUAAAAUGCAUUAUUUUGAAGGGAGCGACUUUGAGAUAGCUUUUGCUUGAUUUCUGCAAAAACUGUAGUUCUCAGAUCCUUAACCUUUACCUGUGAUUAUAUCUAUCCAUGGUUUGAUUGGAUGUGGGAUUACAGUGAAUGCUACGGGCGAUAGUGGACUGAAAUGAAGAAAUAUAUUCUCCUAGAGCAGCUUACAGUAGGAAUUGCUUCGAGCGCUCGUCUUAGUUCUUCUAUCAUAGAAAAUGUUGUGCCUUAUGUGCUGUAAGAGGUUUACAAAAUAAAUUAUUAAAUUUCUAUGGGCUUUAGAAAAAUAAUUAUAGUAUUUUUUCUCUAUAUAUGUAUGGUUUUAUGCAUGAAUCUCUUCUGUUAUUGUCCUUUACGCUAAAAGUUUCCUUUUCACGACAAAUUUGCACUAGAGUCUCUUCAUAUAUGAAAUUUUACAUUUUCUCUAAUAAAUUGUCAUCCCUUUUGCGACAUAGUUCUUCAUUCAAAUUAUUUGUCAGAAACCUCCAUUUCAAAUUAUCUCUUACUUCUGACCAUUAAUUCAUUGCGUAUUUUAUGCAUAAGUCCCUUACAUGGCCAAAGGUUCAUUAAAGUGUAUACAAUGACGACAUUUAUUCAUAAAACUUUAAUUUUACAACUUAAUCCCCAAGAUUUAAAUUUUACGUAAAUAACUUUGAUUUUCUAUAUUAUUGUAGUAGAAAUUACAACCAAUUAAGAUGUAAUUUCAACUAUAUCAAUUGGAUUUCCUCACGUAAUUCUAAUUAUAGCAGUUUGACUUAAAUAUACUAAUCUGAAUAUUAUAUUUACUAGUUGAGUACGUGCAAAUGCACGUAAUAAUUAUUUUAAUAGCUAAUCUAGAAUUAAUAUAAUUUUUUACAUCAUAUUUAUUCAAAAGUUUACAAUAAAAAUUUAAAAUUUGAAAAGUAAAUUCAUUUAUUAUGUACUAUUAGAAAAUACCUAUCAUAUUUUAACUCAAAUUUAAAUAAUUAUUGCGGACAAUAAUUAUAUAGUUAUUUUUAAUUUUAUAAAAUUUGCAUUUAGAUCGUGAAUUAAAUUUAAUAUUAGAUAUCAAAUUUGAAUUAAACAAUUAAAUUAUUUUGAUUAAAGUGGAUCAAAAUUAAAUUUUUAAAUUUUGAAUUAAAGGUAAAUUAAAAUUUUGAUACUUUUAGUUUAAAACACAUACUUAAAAUUUGAAUUCACCAAAUUUCAAAAACAUACAAAAAUAUUCAAUAUAUAGUUAAAUUUUAACUGUGAAUUUAAGAUAAAAUAAAAAUUAAAAAUAAAAAGAUUAAAAAUAAUCAUAUAUUUGAAAUUAAAUUCAAAUUAAAUUAAAAUUUAAGUAUACAUUUUAAACUAAAAAUAUCAAAAUUUGAAUUGACAUUUAAUUCAAAAUUUAAAAUUUAAUUUUGACCCACUUUAAUUUUUUUUNAACUAAUUUAUCAUAAGCAAAUAAUUUGAUGCUAGUUAUAAAAUCUAUUUUAGUAAACAUUUAACCUAAAUAAAUUAUGACUCCAAAUAUCAAACUCUUUUUUUUAGAUAAAAAAAAUUAAAAUCAAAUACUAUUAAAAUUUAGAUAUAUAUUUGAAAUUAAAUUUAAAUUUAAUUAUUAAUUACAAGCAAUAAAAAGUUAAUAUAACGAAAAAAAUCAGUAGAUAAAAUAGAGAUAAUAUAUUGACAUCAAAAAGAAAAUUAUUUGAAGGAUAAUAAUAUUUAAUAAAAAUAUUAACAGAUGAAGAAAAAUGAGGAACUAAAAAUUAUUUCGUUAUGUACAAAAAAAAAAGAAGAAGUUUGAAAUGAAUAUCUUGAGAGGCCAAAAUUUGAAAUAUGUGCUUUAUCUAUAUAAUAAUAAUAAUAUGGAUAAUAUAGAUAUAGAUAUAGAUAGAUAGAGAACUAGGCUGGAAUACUAUUAGGGUGCAUUUGGUUCAAGUUUUUCUGACAGGAUUACAGUCAAUCCUGCCAUGAUUACUGUGUUUGGUUCAUCCGCUAUGUAAUCUAGUCGUUAAUGUAGCAUUACAAAUCGAGCAGGAUUACACCGAAAAUAUUAAUGAGAGGAGGGUCGUGUAUCUGGUAUUACUGAAAACCGGUAAUACUACAUAUUAUGUAAAUGACAAUUUUACCCCUCUAACUCCCGAAACCCUUUCAAUAUGUCAUUUUAAAAAAUUUAAUUUAAAAUUUUGAAUUGUCAACUUUUAAAUUUUAAAUUUAAAUUUUAAACUUCAAAUUUAAAAUUUAAAUUUAAAAUUUAAAUUUAAAAUUUGAAUUUAAAUUUUAGAUUUUAAAUUUCAAAUUCUAAAUUUCAAAUUUUAAUUUUAAUUUUUAAAUUUAGAAUUUGAAAUUUAAAAUCUAAAAUUUUAAAUUUGAAAUUUGAAAUUUAAAAUCUAAAAUUUGAAAUUUGAAAUUUAAAAUCUAAAAUUUAAAUUUUAAAAUUUAAAAAAUUUUAAAUUUGAAGUUAAAAAAUUUAGAUUUUAAAUUUCAAAUAAAAAAUUUAAAAUUUAAAAUUCAAAUUUCAAAUUUCAAAUUUCAAAUUUUAAAUUUUAAAUUUCAGAAAUUUUAAAAUUUAAAUUCAAAUUUGUAUUUUAAUUUCUGAAUUUUAAAUUUAGAUUUUUAAUUUUUAAUUUUAUAUUUAUAUUUCAUUUAUAUUUUGAAUUUUAAAUUUAUAAAUUUCAUAUUUAUAUUUUAAAUUAAAAUAUUAAAUUUAUAUUUUUGUUCAAAUUUAAAAUUUAAAAUUUAAAUUUUAAAUUUUAAAAAAGUAAAUUAUUUAAAAUAAAAUUUAGUUAAAAAAUACUAUUUGUAAACAGUAAAAAAAAAAGUUUACAAAAUAUGAUUAAGCGUAAUUUUGGAAUAGACUAUAUUUUAUUGUCUAGAUUACUUAAUUUUAUAGAUAAAACCAAACAUAUUAAUGCUAUAACCACUGCAAUCCAGCAUUAUAUUACUGUAUUAAACCAAACGCGCUAAUGCAGCAUAAGUAUUAAUCUCUUUUAGAAAUCCAAGAUACCUGGAUAUAUUGAAAUGCUCUGUAAUAUUAUAUAACUUGAACCAAACGCGCCCUUAAUAGCACCAAGCUAUUGGUGGUAUUAGGUUUUCGGCCUUUGGAUGAAAAAAUAUACGGUUAGGAUAAUGUGGGCCCUCUAGGGUUGAGUAAGUUAUUGAUUGAAUAGUAUAAUCUAACGAGUGAAAAUAAUCAAAUGGUUAAAUUUAACAGUGAAAAUUUUGAUAGCACCAAAUGCUUGGUGCUAUCGAUACUAUCCUAGUCGGAUUCGAUAGAUAUAUAUACAUUUAAAAUAAAAAUAUAGUAGUAAUUAUUAGGGUAAACUUCAAAUUCCGCGUAUGUGGUUUCGCACUUUCUCACUUUAAUACUUUGUGAUUUAAAGUGUAUCGAUUUAGUGGCCUAUUAACAAAAAGAGAAAAAUGAAAUCAUACGAAAUCAUAGUGUACUAAAAUAAAAAAAAUAUGAAACCACAAGAGAUGUAUUUGAAGUUCUUCGUAAUUAUUAUGUGCAACGAAAUCUUUCCAAAUAAAUUAGGUAUUUGUUUAAAAAUGUUGUGUACUAAACUAACAAAGGAAAAGAAAUAAAAAAAAAAAACACAAAAUCACGAGACGAAAGAGCCAAUCAAACCCUCACAGGAUGGACGCAUACUCGACAGGUGAAGACAAAUCCGGAGCGAAGGAGGUUCCCCUAAAACGCCAGGCGGCGGAAGCCCGGGCGAGCCUGUUGACUUUUGAGGAGGACAGGCGGCCGUCGAGAGAGAAAGCUAAACAGAAUAAUAAUAACAAAACUGAAAAGUGGAAACCCACCGUCGCAGUUCAACAGUCGCUCUCUCUCUCUCUCUCUCUCUCUCUCUCUCUCAGCGUCGUAGUCCUUCCCCUUCCUCCCUUCAUUGGGCUCCAAAUCGUGGGUCAUAAAAAUUCCCUGGUUCCUCUCUAGGGUUUCCUAUUUAUUCCCCUCCCCGAUCCCUCCGCCGUAUCAUCGCACUACUCUCUCUGUCUCGGCCGGAAGGGUUUUGCGCCGGCUAGGGUUCCGGCGGAGGAGGAGGAGGAGGAGGAGGAGGAGGAGGAGGGUGGGGGGGGGGGUGAUGGGGACGAAGAGGUGGCUGAUACCGGCGCCGGCGUACCAGGAGGUGGGACGAGCUGGCGGCGGAGGACGACGCGCCGGGCCGCGGUGCGCGCACUCGCUCACCGCCUCGCCGCCACCAAGUCCCACGGCCCCGCCUCAUCCUCUUCGCGGCGCCACCCCUCGACGACGGUAGCCCCUCCGGCAUCCCCGAAUUCAUUACUUCUCGCUCUCUCUCGCUCUCUCUCUCUCUCUCUCUCUCUCUCGCUCGCUCGCUCUCUCUCCCUCCUCUUCUCUCUCUAUCUAUCUCUCUCUCGCUAUCUCUACAUUCGUUUGAUCUGAUUUGGGGUUUGAAACUUGUGAAGGGCUCGCGGGAGUGACGAACUGGGUCCACUCGUAUGACGUGCAAUCGAAGAAAUGGACCAGGUUUGAUCUACACGCUACUUGCCUUCUCUAUUCCCCCAGGUUCCAUUUUUUAGGGUUAAUCAGAUUUUCAGUCACUCCAGUUUUGGUUUAGUGUAAUUUUCAGUUCACACGCUUUAAAUCUUGCAAUUCAAUUAUGGAUCUAUAGUGCAGUACCGAUAACAAUCAAGUUUUUAUAGUUUUUGAAAGCGUGAUAAUCAAGUCGCUGUGUUAUUCUUCUUCUUCUUAAAUUGGAAGGGAAUGACAUUUAAUUGUCUAUGUAAGCAUGGGCUGUCGCGUAGAGGGUUUGAAAAGAAGUUGCAUUUUUGGGGAUGACAAUUCCUUUUAUUGUGUUAAUUUGUGUUUAAUUUCUUAGUAAUUAAUGGGAGUAAAGUGUUGUAAUCUGGAUUUGGUAGGAUACACCCAGUAGGAGAGGCUCCUUCACCUAGGGCUGCUCAUGCAGCAGCUGCGGUGGGCACCAUGGUUGUCUUUCAGGUGACAUGACGCUUAUAAUUUUUCUAGUAGCUAAGUUUUGGUGAUUUGGAUUUGGUGGCUAUCUCUUUCGUUAGCGAUAAUGAAGAAAUAGUGAGAGUUGCUUUGUGAUUUUAGGGUGGGAUUGGUCCAGCAGGGCACUCGACAGAUGAUCUCUAUGUGCUUGACCUGACCAAUGAAAAAUAUAAGUGGCAUAGGUGAGGAUUUGAUACUCUAGAAAAUUUUCAUUGGUUUCUUUAAGUUUAAAAAUUUUCUUUUAAUUUGUCAUAAUUCAUAACAGGGUGGUGGUUCAAGGGCCUGGACCUGGCCCUCGCUAUGGCCAUGCAAUGGACUUGGUCGCUCAGCGUUACCUCGUGUCGGUCAGUGGCAAUGAUGGUAAGCAAUUCAGGCUUUUGUCUGUGGCUUGGUUUAUUACGAUCUAGGCAAAAGGAAAUAAGAAAUUAGAAAGUUAAGAGUGAGUCAAUGAUUCGGACAGUGAUUGCAGGCAUGUGAAUCUAAUAAAAUGGAGAAGCAAACUUUAAUGCCAUAAAAAUGAUAUAUGAUAAACAAUAAAUGGUAACUGUAUAUAUUAUUUGAAGUUUUCACGAAACAGAAUUUUAUUUAUGCCUAUUAUACAAUGCAAAGAGAUGUAGAUUUUAAAGGAUGCUGCCUGACAUGCCACCACCUAUUGUGCUCAGCAAAUCUUUCCAAGCAGACUUUUAAAAUGUCUAUCAAAUAUCUCUGCUACGAUGUGUACAUCUUAAUGGAGAAAUAGUUUGAAUUUUGCGCAUGAUGAACUGCAUUUGCCUGUCCGCAUGGUAGUUCAAUGAUAUGUUCAAGCUGUUUUGGGCUAAUGCUAACAAAAUUAUGGCUGAUAAUCACCAUUGGUUUGUCAUUCCUGAACCAUAAUAUAAACUUGCCUCGUUUUUCAUUCUUAAAUAUGAAAUGCUGAAGCAGUGGAACCAUUUCAAGCAACAUGCCUAUCAUAAUAAAUUAUGAGAUUUGUAAGGAAUACAGAGAACAAGUUUAGUAGGAGGAGCUAGAUAACACAAAUUCAUUUGUAAGUUCGUCAAAAUUCAUUUGUAAGUUUGUAACUUUUUUACACAAUCAUAUGUAAAUUAUUUAUUCAUGAUGUAAACUAUAAAAUCAUAUAAAAAUGAAAAGAUGUGAGAAGCUUAGGAAAGUGCUUUUCACAUCUGUAUGUAUACCUGAGAAAAUGUUUGUUGCCUGUACAUCCUCAAAAGUGCUAUUGGAUGUAUUUUUUUUUUAAUAUCUUAUAUAAAUUGUCAGGAUAUAUGCAAAAAUCAACGCUUUCGAUUUAUACUUGCUGAAUUUGGAUUUCAUCAUUGGUUCAUAUACAAAAAAAAAAAAAAAAUCAAACUAUACGUAAAUUGUGCCUACAAAUUUUAUGUUUGAACGGUACUUAAGCAAAUAAAAUUUUUAUUUUCUGAGAUGUAUAUUGUGGUAUAAUAUCAUGGUGGACCAUCUGGCAUUAUAUGGAAUUUUAGUAGCUUAUUCAUGAUGAAAAUAAUUGUUAUUGUCCAUAGUCUUUUGGUUGGGCAUUUCCUAUUGACGUUAUGGCUAAAUAUCCUUAUAUGCUGUAACAUAGUAUUUGCAGAAACAAUGAGUUUUUUGCUCUAUCUGGUUCCAGCUUUGCUGACAUUGGUUUGAAAUGAGUUCAUCUCACAUGUAUCUCUUUACGGUAAGUUGUUAAUAUGGGUUCUAAGAAAUCAUGCUAUUUUAUGCAGGAAAGAGGGCUUUAUCUGAUGCUUGGGCAUUGGACACGGCACAAAAGCCAUAUAGAUGGCAGAAACUUAACCCUGAAGGCGACAGACCUUCAGCUAGAAUGUGAGCUUAGACUUGUUAAGUAAACAUUCUGGUUUAUAUAAUUUGUAUAUGCUCUUUCCUCUUAUGUCAUCCUUUUAACUCUAUUGUUUUGUUGUAAAGCUAAUAUUGCUUUUUCACAUUUUCUUUUCAACAUUAUAGCACGUUGUCUAACUACAAUCAAAGAUUUUCUUUGAUUUUUCUACUGAUUUUGAUGCAACUUUUGGUGAUUCUUCGCAUGCCUUUGAUAAUAAGUUAACAGGUUUUAUGCUUCAUGAUUAUGACUGGCUUUUUCUUCUUAUCAAGGACCUGAUGGUCUUGUUCAAAGAAGGACAAACAGUUUUCCUCCUAUCCUUCGAGCAGCUUUGUGUUGUAGCAGAAGCAGAAGCUUGAAUUUGGAAUAUUUGCUUUUAGGGCCCGGAAGCUCAUUUCAACUCCUUUUCACAGCAAAACUACUACACUUUUUGUUUGCCAUACGUUUAACUACUGCUUUUCACAGUAGAGAGUAGUUUUGUAAAGGAGGGCAAGAGGCACUUUGUCUCAUCUAUGAUCUUCAUGUUGGCGUCUAUCGAGGCAUCAAACCUAUAACACCUAUUUAUCCAUCAACAGAUAUGUAUGAAGCUGCAUAUUGUUUGACCUCCACCGAAGUAUCUACUAACAAAUUACCCUAGAUUGGAUUUCUACUUCAUUGACAUAUUUUUCCUUAAAUUGUUCUUGAGAUAUUUAUUUCUUCCUUUUCUCAUAACUUGGAGGUGUACCAUUAUACCCGGAUGCAAAAUUUGUUAAUCAUCUCUAGGAGCCAUGAUUAGAGCUAAAACCCAAACUUACUAUAUAUGGUGAUGUAAUCUCUUGAGAGGAGUAUAAAUUCAGUUACUUUCCUAUGACCAUAUUUUUCCUCCUGUUCUUAUUGGUGGAACUACUGAUGGUAUUAAGACAUCGAUGCACAAUAAAUCAGAUUUACAUAGCUAAAAACUAGUAAGAGUUUUCUUUCAGUGAUUUGGUCAAGGAAGGUGUAGAAUGAUAGCACAACUCAUUUUGGGUGUUUUUGGUUUUAUAGAAAAGUUAUGAUCCAUGGAAGACAAAAUCCGUGAGAAACUGUUUCCCAUGUAAAAGGAUACUGUUGAAAGGUAGGGAAUUCAAAAUGAAGUUCCUUUUCUGCCCUAAUUUAGGAUGAGAAAACAUUAAUACUUCUAACGACACAGAUAGGAGAUUGUUUAUCUAGUUGAAGUCUUCUGUUGAAUAUAUAGAACUUUGACAUUGUAACAAUACAAAAGCCUAAUAUACUACUCUGUGGGUUUGAGCUGCUUUGCAACCAAAUCUAUACAACCUUGAAUGUAAUGAUACAAAUAUUGAUCGUAUGGGACAACUUUGUGCAACUUCAUAUGUUUACAAGGCAGCCAAAGUUUAUAUGAAGAGGGAACUAAGUAAUGGAGAUCACAUUUUUGUUUGCAAAAGUUAAACUUUAAAUGAGAAUUUAUAACAUCACAACUGUUGUGGUAAACCUUCCCAAUUCUUCCAUGAUAUGAAUAUCAAAGUGAUGGUUAUAUUGAAUGAUUAACCAGGGAAAAAUAUUGGUCAUUAUUUGAUGGGUAAGUAAUAUUAAUGGCUAUGGUGCACUUGAUUUAAAAGCUACCUCCUGUACGUUUAAUCUUGGACAAGUUCUCAAAAGCAAAUUGAAGCUCCAGUAUAUAGCCCCAAAUUGGGAAGAAAAGCCCUGUGAUAGAAUGGGUUAUCACUUUGGCAGUGUAUUAGAUUUUGUUAGUUUCAACAUCAUUUGUAGAAGGUUGACCAGUGCAGUUUUUAUAUUCAUGUAUUUUACAUAGCUACUGAACUUUGAAUUUUUAUUUGUAUGUUCAAUUGUUUAUUUUGUCGAAGGGAAUUUUUGCACAUUAUCUGAACCAUCUUAAAAUAAUGAAGGGAGUGGGAUUAAAGAGAGUAGUGUUUAUCAUAUAAUCAUGGAACUGUUUAUUAUGCUUUUUAAUUGCACAUUUUUUUUUAAAUGGAUGAGUUGUAGUUAAAAUACAUGUUGUGGCGAAUUUGUUUUUGUGAUUAAUUUUAUGUUGCCAACAAUUAAUAUAUUUUUCAUUUUUUGUACGUUUACUUCUUAGUAUAGUUAUUUGUAUAUUAUUAGAUGUUUUCAGAAGAUAUCUUACUUUCUUUUAUCAAUCGUGUUCUGAAUUUAGUUUCUCGUACUGCGACUUUGUCUUACUAUCAUUCUAUUUUUUCCACAGGUAUGCUACUGCUAGUGCACGUUCAGAUGGCAUGCUUUUACUUUGUGGUGGAAGAGACACUUCUGGAAUGGUAAAAUCAUCCUUUUCUAUAUCUCUUUAUUUGCUUAUAAUUUCAUAUAAAUGAUUUGUUUCAACUUUCAAAUAAUGUUACUUGUAUUUAUCAAUAUUACUAAUUUUUAUGACACUACAACAGGUUGGUAUGUAUAAGCACUGUUGUAACAUGAUGUGAUGAUGAUUAGGCAAAAAGUUCAAUAUAAUGUCAAUGCGCAUUUGUUUGUGGUCCAAGCUAGUGUUUGUUCAGCUAUGCUAAAUCAUUUAGUAUAACCUGCUCGAAGUUACAGUUUUGUUAUGUGAGUAUCCAUUUCAACAACUCUGGCUGUUCAGUUGUUUCAGCCCAUGAAAUUAAAAAAGAUGAGCCCAUGAAAUUGAAAAAGAUGAAAAAUGCAAAAUUAAUUAAAAAAAAAAAUAAAGCAACACAACAAACUUUAGUGUAUUUGGAGAUAGGAAUAUGUUGUUUUAUCCUAUCUUUUGCUGUUUUCCAGGAGGACUUCUAGAAACUAUUGACAACACUACUCAUAUUAUGUAUGUGUUAGUUCUUAUGAGCACAUUCUUCAUAGGCAUCACUCUAGUUAUUGCAUAGAUAUCACCUGUAAUAGUUUUACUUCGCCUUGCUCCUUCCUGCGGUUCAACAAUGGAGGAAAACAGAAAUGCAAAUUUUCAUGAGAUCUGUGGUGGUAGCAGGGUGCUUGGGCUUUUGCCCAACGUGAUGAAAUGAAACCUUAUUUUGUUAAAUCUGUUGACAUUUUGGAGAUCGAAAUCAUUUUCUUUUGCCUAAUAUUUCCUAGAAUGACCGUCAAUGGACAAAGAGAAGCAUUUUGGGGCUAAGGCUAUUUUUUUCAAUUGCAGAAGCAUUGUGUUCCAUUAAGAAUGAAGACAAAAGGAUGGCUAAUUAUAAAUUGGAAGGAAUGUAUUUUUUGUGCGAACCGAUUUCGUUUGAAACUUGUAGGUUUUGUCUGAAAUGUCUGAAACCUCAAAACUAGCCAAUCGUUGUUGAGCCAAAACUGAUAGGUAUUUGAUAGUAUUCGAAUCGAGCACUUCUAUGUUAGGUAAAAACAUAUAAGAACUUACCUGAACUGUGAACCAUAUCAAAGCCAAUCCUUGUUGGUGAGAAUUGAUAGGUAUCUUUUAGCACUCGAAUCGAGCACUUCCAUAUUGUUUAGAUAAAAAUAUAUAGAACUUUCCUGAACUAUGAACCAUUUUGAGCUGACUACUCAACCUUCCAAAAUUUUGAUUUUACUACCUAACCUUUCGAUUUGUUUGAUUUGAGUUAGUUAGUAGCUCUUUGACUUCAAAAUUUGAAUGCGUUGUUGAUCUUUAUAGGUUUAGUUAGUAUAUUUCAUGCAAUUCUCGUAACUAUAUACUCAUUAAAGUAAUUAGGUUUAAUUUUGAAGUCAAAUUAUUGUUAACUAAUUCAAAUCAAACAAAUUGAGAGGUUGGGUAGUAAAAUCAAAAUUUCGAAAGGUUGGAUAGCUGAUUCAAAAUGGUCUAUAGUUUAGGUAAGUUAUGUAUGCUUUUACCUAUAAUUUAUGCCACAACAAUAAAUUAUAUGAAUAUAUGCUAUAUGUAAAGAAGAAUGUGUGUUCGAGUGCAUGAGGCUCCUUAACAUUGUAGUGUUGAGGCAAGCGAGAUGACCUUACCCCAUUAUCUAAGAGGGUUUUUGCUUUUCUCCGUCUGUUCCGCUAGAGCUCAUGAUGGAAGCCUUAACCACCAGAUAUAGAAAUGCCUUCUCUCUGUCUGUUCCGCUAGCAGCCAUGGUGGCCGACAUGGCGGAUUUCCAUGCUUCUACCAUGCUUUUUCCAUAGUGCCUCUCCGUGGCGUUUUGGCACAAAGCAGGCUGCCAUGGCGGAUGUCGCCCUCCAUGGCGGCUGCUAUAUAGCGGUUAAAUGGCGGCCGCUUUAUGCUAUGGGUCAAAAAUCUGUUUUCUAAAUGGGUUUUAAAACCCCAACCCAGUAACAAUUUGUAAAUAGGUUUUCAAAAAAGGGUCGAACACCUUAUGUUUACAUAUUUAUAACAUAUUUAUAUGUUUAGUCUUUUAAUUAGUUUUUUGAUACUAUGUCGAAUAUAAGUUUUGUGAUCUUCAUUAUGCUACAUCCUUUUACUGCUGUUAUUUUAGACCUUAUGUUUCCUUAUUUAUAUUUAUCUACUUGAUUAGGAGGUAAAUUAGUAAUAAAUUAGUAUUAUACAUUAUUAAAAGUUCGAGUCCGCCAUAGGUACAAGGGGCCGCUAUGUCUCCCGCUAUCUGCUAUCUGCCGUGAAGAACCCUAACUGCUACGUGCCUGCCGCACGCCAUUUAGAAAUUAGAACAUUGCAUGAAAAAUGUCUGAUAUUCAUUGUGCACUAUUUAGUGGUCAUAUGGCUUGAUGAAUGUUUGGGCUACACUUGUAUGGAAGCUUGUAAUUAGAUCUACUUUUCUAGAGAGUAUUUUUAGCAUAUACCUAAGUUUGCAAUGACAUAAUGUAAUUUGCAGCCACUAUCAGAUGCUUAUGGCCUCCUAAUGCAUACAAAUGGCCAAUGGGAGUGGACUCUUGCUCCUGGAGUCUCACCAUCGCCACGGUAUCAGCAUGCUGCAGUAAGUUCUCCGGAGAGCAGAUUCAUAAUCACUUUGAACUCGAAUAUGUAAUAAUGAUUAAUUAAUUAAAAAAAAGGGGCAAUUGCUUAUAUACUUCUGAAAAGUUCCCGACUUUCUGAUGUACCCCUCUUAGAAGGCUAAUAUUAAAAAUACCCUUUUUACGUUCCAACCUAUUUCUAAUAUACUCCUAGAGUUAAAAUCUCUUAAUGAACUCUUCUAUCUCUAUGAAAUUACUAUUUUGCCCUUUCAAAUUUACUCUUCUACCAUCACCGACUUUUCUUAUUUGCCCUUAAGUUAGGGGUACAAAAAGCAUUUUGCUUUUUGGUCUUUUCAAAUAUACUCUUCUACCAUCACCCACAUUUCUUAUUUGCCCUUAAGUUAAGGGCAAAAGUGGCAUUUUAAUUUUUUUUAACUGUGGUAGAUAUUUAACUCAUGUUUAACCCAAGUUAAUUUAACGGGUGGUAACUGCAGGGGUAUUUUGGAAUAACGGAGGAACAUAUGAGGGGUAUAUUGGAAAGAAAAAAAAAGCAGGGGUAAAUGAGAUAUUUCCGAAGUUUUGAGGGGCAUAUAGGCAAUUAUCCUUAAAAAAAAAAGAUCUUACGAUGUCAAGUUCCAUUAAGUUAUUCUUUAUACACGAUAUAUGUUUUACUUUCAUUAUUUUUUCCCAAUUUGUUUUAGUUGUAGUGACAAUGCAAUUGAAUAGGUUUUUGUCGGUGCUCGAUUACAUGUUACUGGAGGUGUUCUUAGGGGUGGACGCACUAUUGAAAGUGAAGGUGCAAUUGCAGGUAAAUUAUUUUUCUCUUUUCUGUGAUUUUUGGAUGCUUGUUGUUUGACACUAUAGUUUUCAUUAUCUAUUUCCUUGUCUUUUUGAAGUUCUGGACACUGCUGCUGGGGUGUGGUUGGAUAGAAAUGGUAGUGUUACCUCCUCUCGUUCUCACAAGUCUUCAAGUGAGCAUGAUCCAUGUUUGGAGCUUCUUCGUCGUUGUCGCCAUGCAUCUGCCUCUGUCAGCUCGCAGAUAUACAUAUAUGGCGGUCUCCGAGGAGGUAAAUAUAGAUUACUUACUACAUUUUAGUGCUUGUGUAAUUCAUCUAGGGAUGAAGUAUGGGAUUAGAUGUGACAUUCAAAAGCAUCUAGACAGGCAUCUAGACAGUAAGAGAGUAGCAUCAAGCAAAAUUGGUAGAUUUUUCUAGAUUUUUGGGAUCUUCUCGUGACAGAUCAUUCUUCAAAUAAUUUGUCAUCUGACCUUUCAUCUGAGGAAGUGAAAAUAUGGAUGCGUAUAAAAGAAGCCGAAGAAGCCACAAAAGUUAGAUCUGAACUAAUAUUACUCAUAUUGUGGUGUAGAAAGCUCUUGAUCCUCAAAAGCUAGGAACCACGGAUCUUCAAAAAUUUUGUUUUGUUUGUGUCGUGUCUGUGUUAUUCACAAUUCUUGGAUGGACACUUCGUGGACAUGUGUCAACCGUGUAUCCGCUAUGCUCCUCACGCUCCUUACGGUGCUGCACCUCGGUAGCUGGUCUAUCGUGCAUUGAUUGCGUGUCCAGUAUAAAAGUACAUAAGCGAAUAUGAAAAGUUUUUUUUUCCUACUCUGUUGUAUAUAAGUGACUGUGAAUGAAUAUUAUACCUUUUUGUAUAGCAUGAUUGAGUUUUUUGAGUUAAAGAUUUGAUUUAAGUUAUAUACUUAAAUACUGUUAACUUUUAUAUACAAAGCGAUUAAGGCAAAUCAGUUGCUGUCCAUAUAGGUGAGAAAAUAGUAAGAAAAUAGUAAUGAGAAUGUUAACCUUCCCCCUCUCAACUAUAUCAAAGGUUAAAUAUAUCAAAGGAGACUUCUCUUUGGAGGGGAAAGAAAAAUUAGACUGCCUUCUUGUGUUAAAAAAAUAAGCCACUCAUUAGGAGGUGGAAAAUCACAAGAACUGGUGUCAAAGGAGUGUUCCAUGUUUGUGGAGGCUUGAGGAGUAUGUUCUACACCAUUCAAAGAGACAAAGACCAUCAUUCCUUGAGCAUUCUGCAUCAACUAAGGUUUCGAUAUGAAGAAACUUUCCAACAUUUGGUAAUUUCUCCUAUUGCAUUAUUAGCUGAAUUCUGAUAGAAGUUUUGAUUGCUUGACCAGAAAGUUAGGCGUGAUUCAUAUACUUCAGCACUAUAUUGAGAACCAUAUCACUAAGGCUAUGUUGAAAGUUAUAUGGUGGGAAUGUCUGGGUCAGAUUUAGGUAAAGCAAUUAGGUUUGUACCCGAACGAUGUACUGGCGUGUUUAUAAUAAUUUAAUUAUGUUAUACAACAUGCAAUUGAAAAACUAAAAUAAUAAUUAUUCUUUACCAUUCAAUAAUGAUUUAAAAUUUAAAGAGUAGAGAAAAUAAAUACUUUACAUAAUAUGUGCCAAAAAAAGAUUACUGAAAAAAAUAAUCAAAGAGAAAUAAAAGAAUGUGUAAAGUAACAGGAGAGCUAAUGAUUAUUUGGAGGAUAAUUCUAAAAGAAAAGGAGAAAGAUACUUUUAUCGCUGAAGCAUUUUACAUGUAAAAUAACAUCUGUUUUUGAAAUUUGUAUACUCAUAGCAGAAAUCUAGUCUAAAUUGAGAUAGCAUAUUAAAGUUAUUUGAUCCAAAUAUAUUAAUGUUGUUUAAAAUAUAUUUUUAUCUUAUUUUAGUAUUUCUUUAUAAACUUUUUUACUUUAAUUUCCUUUUAGAUUCAAAAUAGGAUCAAAUUAUAUCUAGUCUUAUCUAAUCUAUAUAUCCUACAAAUUUAAGUCUAAUUUAAGAAUAUAUUAAGAUGUUCUUAUUUUAUAGAUUUAAAAUUGGAUUGAUUUGAAAUUUUGAUUUUUCUAAGGAAUUUUCUGCAAGGAUGGUGACCUAGCUUCACAAAAUCACUUGAGAAUGUGAAGAACUGACACUGUUAUAAUGAUAUAGUUAUGUUCUACAGUAUGCAGUUGAAACCCUAAUAUAUUAAUUAUUCUUUUUACCAAAUGAAUAAUGAUUUGAAAGCAGAGAAAAAAUAGAAAAAAUAAAUAGUUUACAUCAUAUGUAGUCAAAGAAAGAUGAUUGCUGCAAAAAAAUGAUUGGAGAGAAACAGAAAAAAAUAUGAAGUAAAAAGAGAGUUGAUAAUUAUUAGGAGGAGAACUAUAAAAGGAAAAGAGAAACAUAUUUGAUUGCUGAAGAAAGCUGUAUUCUUUUUAAUGUAAAAUAACAUCUGUUGUUUGGAGUUUAUAUAAUAAUAGCUGAAAUCUAGUUCAAGAUUUAUAUAUUCAACCUGAAAUCUAGUCUAUAUAGAGAAAGAAUAUUAAAUUUAUUUGAUCCAAAUAAAUUUGUCUUGGUUAAAACACAUUUGUAUCUUAUUUUAGUAAUUCUCUGUAAUCUUAUUUACUAUAAUUUAAUUCUUAUUUAGAGUCAAAAUAUGAUCAAAUGAUAAUCUAGUUUUAUCCAGUCUAGUUUGAAUUUGAAUAACAUACUAGGAUAUCUUUAUCUUAUAGAUUUAAUUCCAAUUUAAAUGAAAUACUAAGAUAAUCCCAUCUUGUAAAUUUUAAGUUGGAAUUAUUAUAAAUUUCAAUAUUCUAAGGGGGUUUUUUUGCAAGGGUCAUGGCGUCGCUUCAAGAAAUCAGCCAAAAUUUUCUAGUUUUCUAAAUAUAAUAUUGAUAGCUUUAUGUCAAGGAUUUAAGUACUGUGGCACAGGGUCGUGCCGAAAACUUGUGGGCACGGUACGUGCCGGGCCGUGCCAAUGUGUGCCGCUCACAAAAAAAUCAUGUGUGCCGACACAUAAUAGCAUGAAAUAUUUAUUUUCUUUAGCAACAAAAUAUUCUAAUUAUUUAUUAUGUAUUUUUAUCAAAUCUUUUGAAUUUUAUUGAGAAUAUUACUUACUAAUUUAAAAAGUAGAUAAUUUUGAGCUAUGCCGUCAGCAUGGGGGCUAUAUCGUGCCGAUAUCUUGUUGGACGAUACGGCACGGUAGAUACGGCUCGUGUCGAUGGGUACUUAAAUCCUUGCUUUAUGUAAAGCAGCGUCACACGUGGACCAUGUAUUCAAAUAGUCCACAUGUGUCGAUUCACUGACUGUAUAUAUUUUGACUUGAAAAUUCUUACCACAAUUGUAUUUUGAGCAAAUAGGUCUUUGGUCCUGUUCGUUUUGAGUUUUAUGGCUUCAUUAGAAAUGGUGGAAAUAGAACUUUUAUUAGCUUACUGUCAUACAAUUUUUCAACCUGAAAAACAAGACAUUAGCACGUUCAUCAGGAGGCUACUAGUAUCAUUGCUGCCGGCAAUUGAGAAAUAAUUUUGCUUGCUCUUUUGCUCCCACAAUGUUGAUCCCAUUACACAUGGCCAGAAAUAUAAAAAAAAGGCAAAUCCCCUUCUUGGCUGAAAAGAUGUUCUCAAUGUAGCAGGUAGGAAAUCAUUUCAGUGGUGAGAGCUGAUGGUGUUCCAUACACCUGGAAAUGGGGUAAUGAAGGAGCAUGCUCUCUAUUGGGGCUAAUACAGGAAGAGCAAUAGAGUUUGUUGAGAGAGUGAAUUGUUGAGCUUGCUUACUAGGCUUUUGCUUUACUAGAGAGAACUGCACUUUUAUCGGGCCAAUAAUUUUACUAACAAAAUGCGAUGACUAGAACUACUUUGUGAUAACUUUUGAGUCACUAGAGAGGAAAAGAUCAAGAUUCAAGAUGAAGAUCGUUGUGAUAGACUUGGUGAAGAAAUUUAAUAAAAGUUUACACUGUCUGGUAGUGUAAAGAAAACCUUUGUUUUGAAAUUUAUAUCAAAUAUGGUUGGCAGAUCUUUUAAAUGGUAUAUGUUAAGAAACAUUUGAUGUUGUAAUAAAUUAAAUCAUCAUGUUACUGUGCUUAAUAUUAUACAGUGGAUCUUGUGUUUGGUGUAAUAUCAUCAUAUUAUACCAACAAAGGAUGUGUUGGACUAGAUAUUGUCAAUAAAUAUGCUCAGUGUGCUUGAUUGUUUAGGCUUCUUGAUUUCAUAUACAAGAAAAUAAUUUCUCUCACACUUUCAACAUUCUUAUAAAACCCAUGAUCAAGGAUUUGUACCACCGACAUCAGGUGUGCUGAUGUGCUAUUGGUGCGGUACGGCAUGCUUCCUUACCAAUGGCAUGUCGACACAAUGUGCCAGUGGCACACUGCAGCACACGACUCGCACAUUGCGUGCUAGUGGCAUAUAGCUGCACAUAACUAGAACACUGUAUUCCAGUGUUGGCAUGCAAUUGUGUGGCCCAUGUUGGCACCACCCUGGCAUGGUAUCGCAUGGUUGGCACUGGCAAUCCUUGUGGGCCAUGGUGAUGUGUCUAACUGGAGAUAGAAACAAUAGACUGUAAGAGGAUACUAUCCAUGACAUGUCAAUUCCCUAUAGUAGACUACUGGUUACAUAGUACAAUCAAGUAAAUUAUUACUUGAUUGUAAAUUGUAACAUAACACAACAUAGUAAUAUCAACAAAGAGUUACAUCGGUGUGGUUCUCUAGGCUUGUCUAUAUAUUUAAGUCUUAGACAUUUGAUGACGUUCUCAGGAUUUCAUACUCAUAUCUAUUAGGGCCCGUUUGGUUCGCGUUAUGUAGCAUUAUUGGUCAUCACAACAUAACUAGUAAUUUGAUAUCUCUGAUUCAGACUAGUACUAAUGUUGCAUUACUCUGUUUUGUUUAGUGCAGUAGUGUAAUGAUGGAUUGUUGAGCAUGUAAGAUUAUUUUGUUUGUUUUAUCUUAUAUAUUUUAGUAAUCCUGAUAGUAAAGUAUAUACUAUUCCAAAAAUACUCUUACACAUAUUUAUUUCAAAUUUGAAUAUAAACUUUGAAUCUAAGUUUAAAUUAAUUUAAAUCGGUCAAAUCGUAAAUUCAAAUUAUGAUUUUGAGUUUGAAUUUUAAAUUCAAAUUUUGAUUUUGAAUUUGAAUUUGAAUUCAAAUUCAAAAAUUAAAUUUCAAUUAUAAAUUUAAAUUCAGAUUUUAAAUUAAAAUUAAAAUUAAAAUUAAAAUUAAAAUCUAAAAUCUGAAUUUAGAAUUAAAAUUUGAAUAUUAAUUAUAUUAAAAUUUUCAAUUUGAAGUUCAAAUUCAAAUUUUGAUAGUGAAUUCAAAAUUUAUAUUAAAAUUCUAAUUUUGGAUCAAAAUUCAAAUUAAGUUUUUGAAUUUAAAUUUAAUUUUUGGAUAAUACAAAUUUUAAAUUCAAAUUCACUCAAAUUCUAAAUUUGAAUUCAAAUUAUGAAUUCAUAUCUCAUUUUUAGUUUAGAUUUUUGAGUUCAAAUUUUAAAUUCAAAUUCAAAUUUUCUAUUCAAAUUCAAAUUUUAAUUCAAAUUUCAAAUUAUAUUAAAUUGAAAACUUAAAUUUGAAAUUUAGCUUCAAAUUUAAAUUGAAUCAAAAUUCUAACUCGAACUCAGAUUAAAACUUAAAUUUUGAACUCAAACUUAAACAUUUUAAUUAGAUGAGAAACAGAAAAGUAAAUUUAUUUUAGAUUUAAAUUUGAGGCAAUUGGGGGUGACAAGGGGUAAUUUUGUUAUUUUGUGUAAGUUGCAGGAUAACCUGCAGUCAGUAAAGUAAGAUACUCACCCCCUUCCCUGAUAAUUUUUCUUUUUGUGUUAUCUCGCGCUAUUAAUAAUGCGGCAUUACCAACCGGAUUACGUACGGGAUGAACCAAAUACAGUAAUCUGAAAAGAUUUCUGCGGGAUGCCCUGUAAUCUUCCUUAACAAGAGAACGUGAACCAAACAGGCCCUUAAGUGCUUUCAGGGUGAAACUCAUUGUGUUCUCCUUCCAUUGACAGUUUGACACUUAAUGCUGCUUUGUAAUUUUGCAUUUUAUCAUACUUAUUGUAAUAAAUAACUUUAGAUCAUAGCCUUGAGUCCCUCUGCAAUUUAAUGUAGCAUACUAGUAUUAUGAAGUUCCUCUAGAAGUGAUUAACCAUGGAUAACUUUGCUGCCCAUGCCAAGCACCAUGCCAGUGAAAACUCAGCGCUCCCUUCUUGAUACUCCCUUGGCAACAGGCCCAAAUCUCUAUCUUCUCUGUUUUUUCAGUUUGAUGAGAUUGCUAUGGUUCUAGCUUAUGAUCUUAUGUUUUACCAAUAAUCUUGGGUAAAAAAUUGUUUUGAAGGUGAGAAAAAAUAAAGUACUUGAAAUUGUACUACUAGCAUCUAGAAACUUGCCUGUGGCUCACUAAGCGAGCUGUGGCACAUGCCCCUCAAUGAACUCUCCAUGCCACGAUAAGUUAAUUUUGUAAUGGACUAAAAUGCCAAUGUCAUUAUCGUUGUGUCAGUGAAGCUAUAAAUAAAAAAAAUAUCAUGUAUUAUUUUCCUAGAUUUUUUUUUUCAUUUUUAAAAUGGUAGGCUUGACUUUCUCACACCUUUUUGGUAGGAGUACAUAAAAAUUUUAUAGUAUUAUCAGUGUUUGUUCGGCUGCUGAUUCUGAUUUUGCUGUCUGUUGCUUCUACUUUGCAGAUAUACUACUUGGAGAUCUGCUUGUUGCAGAGAAUUUACCUCUUGAAUCAGAUAUUAGUUCAUCUAUGUACAACAUUGAUAAAGUUCCAUCUGCGAUCAAUGACAAGGAUAGUCGAGGUGUUAAUUCUGCUUCUCCAUCAGUUCAACAUUCUGGAGAAAGAAGAUCAGGGACGGCAUCUUCUGCUAGUUUGAGGUUUUAUACCUUUGCCACUUCUGUUAUCCAUUUAUGGUCAUUAAAUUAGUUUCUUCUUAAUAAGUUCCAUAGAUCUUGACCAAUCGGUUCAUUUAUACCAGUUCGGAUCAACAAUCUAUUGACAUGCUGACUCGGGCCUCUGCUGCCGAAGCUGAAGCUGUUAGUGCUGUUUGGAGAGCUGCAAGGGAAGCGUCUACAGGUUCCACAGAAGAAAGCCUUUCAGAUGAAAAAGAAUCUGAGUCUCAAUUAAAUGAUAAUUUACCGCUCUCUGAUGACUCAGAUGCUACUGAUUCCCUUGAACCAGGUGUUCGUUUGCACCCUCGAGCGGUAGAUUCUCUAAUCUCAACUUAACUUUCUUUCAAUUUUUCUGGAAGGAAGCUUUUAAUAUAUAUCCCUGCACAAUAAGCUAUUAGAUUUGUACCCUUCUGAAAUCUUUAGGUUUUGUUUAUUCCUCAAAAGUGUUGAGCUAAUGGUUUUGUGCUAGAGAAAAGAUAUUUGGAGAGAGGUAUUUCUUUAAACAAGUGUAAAUAUGUAACAAAUUAUGUCUAUGAAGGCAUAUAUGAAAAUUAAGAUUGUGUAGGGGGAUACACACACACACACACACACACACACACACACACACGUGCUCUCUCCUAAAAAGUUGGGUUUUGUAAGAUUCUAAUAUUUCAGGUAGUGGUUGCAAAAGAAGCUGUUGGAAACUUGGGAGGAUUGGUUCGUCAGCUUUCAUUGGAUCAGUUUGAGAAUGAGAGUAGAAGAAUGCAUCCUUCAAAUGGAGAUCAGGCAUAUCCACCCAAGAAGUUCUUAAAUAGACAGAGAUCUCCUCAAGGUUUGCAUAAGAAGGUACGUAUUGUCUAUGAAUUUGAUGUGUUUCAAAAUAAGAUGAAACUGUUUUAACUGGUUUUUUUUUUUUUACAGGUUAUUUCUUUCCUUCUCAAGCCAAGGAACUGGAAAGCUCCUGCUAAUAGGAGUUUUUUCCUUGAUUCAUAUGAAGUUGGCGAGCUCUGCCAUGCUGCUGAGCAGAUAUUUAUGCAUGAGCCGACUGUUUUGCAAUUGAAAGCUCCGGUUAAGGUAUUUGGUGAUCUUCAUGGGCAGUUUGGGGACCUAAUGCGUUUGUUUGAUGAGUAUGGUUUUCCCUCAACAGCUGGAGACAUAACGUAAGUCCAAUUUGGAAAUCCUGUAAUUAUUCUAAGUCCACAUGAGAGUUCAAAUAAUUUGGAAAAUUGAACCUACAAUUUUUUUUUUAGUUUUUCCUGAUAACUGGUAUAUGCGCAUCGUUGCUGGUGAUUUAUGUUGUCUUAGGAGCCUUUCUCUUGAGCAAACUAUUCGCAAAACAAUAUUUAGUUUGUACUAUGAAAAAUAGCCCUUGUCUAUCUAGGAACAUGUCUGACUCCAUAGUUACAAAAGAUUUUGUGAUUUAUACAUUACAGAACACACUGUCAAGUUUCCUGCAGUUUGAUAUGUUUAUAAUAUGCUAAAACUCCACAAACAUGGUUCAAUGAAUAAACUAUUCAGGCCCAAUCUUGUUUGUGAGGAGCUUCACAAAGAAAGUUGAGACUACCAUUCCACCAUUGGGGAUUCUGACCUAUUUCGUAGUGUUCAAUUCGUUCUUUCAGACAUCUCUAGAAAUUCUUAACUAACCAUUUAAACCUUGAAAGAAGAAUUACAUUCUAAUUUCACGUGGUCUGAAGGUUAGCUGAAAACUGAAAGCAUCCAGUCAGUCACAACUGAUUUAAAAACAAUCUUUUUGCGUACAAGAAAUGUGAAAGACCUAGAGUAAAUUACUUAACUGAUAUAUAGAGUAGGGUUAUUGCGCUAUUAGGAGCAUAACAAUCCUUGUGUUUCUAACUUCCUAACCAUCCAUCAAUUUUGAUGGAUGAUUAAGAUGAGUGAGGGAAGAAAUUGGAGUUAUGAAAGUUAUCACAUCUAGUUCAGAUUGCCUCGGCUAGCAACUAAAUCUUCGGCAUAGUAGCUUUUGUUGAACCAUCGUGUCUCAGAAGGCACGAUAGCUAUCAUAUGGUCGGUUUGAGAUAUCUUGAUCCAACCGUAUGAUAGCCAUCGUGCCUCCGGAGGCACGAUGGCUAUCAUACGGUUGGAUCAAGAUAUCUCAAACCGACCAUAUGAUAGCUAUCGUGCCUUCUGAGACACGAUGGUUCAACAAAAGCUACUAUGCCGAAGAUUUAGUUGCUAGCCGAGGCAAUCUGAACUAGAUGUGAUAACUUUCAUAAACCUUUGAUUUAUGAAAGUUAUCACAUCUAGUUCAGAUUGCCUCGGCUAGCAACUAAAUCUUCGGCAUAGUAGCUUUUGUUGAACCAUCGUGUCUCAGAAGGCACGAUAGCUAUCAUAAGAUCGAGUUGAUAUAUAUAUAUAUAUAGUCCUCAUCGCGAUUUUAUCGGGAACACGAGGAUUGAAGGAUUGAUAGGUAGUUAAAACUACCCACCAAUCCUAUUCUCUCUCUUCUUUUUAACCUUUCUUAACCCACAGAAUUAAAGAGAAGAGAAACUUAAAGANNNNNNNNNNNNNNNNNNNNNNNNNAAAAUAUUUUUAAAGUAGUCUAAACCUAACAAAAUGUGGCAAUUUAAGUGUUUGCGUAUUGUACAUGGUAAUUUUAACAGUUAAAACUCUGGAAAACUAGUGAUCGGUUUAUUACAGCUUUUUAAUACUUUAAAUCAAAGGUUUAUAAAAAUUAUCACAUCUAGUUCAGAUUGUCUAGGCUAGCAGCUAAACCUUCGGCGUAGUAACUUUUGUUGAACCAUCGUGCCUCCGGAGGCACGAUGGCUAUCAUAUGGUCGGAUCGAGUAUAUAUAUAUAUAUAUAUAUAUAUAUCUCUCUCUCUCUCUCUCUCUCUCUCUCUCUCUCUCUCUCUCAACUCGAUCUUAUGAUAGCUAUCGUUUGCCUGAGGCAACGGUGGGUAAAGAAAAGCUACUAUCUCGGAGGUUUAGCUGCUAGCCGUGGCAACUUGUACUAGAUAUGGUGAACUUCACACAUCUUUAGUUUAAAGUAUGUAAAAGCUAUAACAAGAUAAUAGGUAGCUCAUCUGUGUUUUUACUUGCCGACUUUUAUUUAUAAGAAAUUUUUUACUACUAUCCUCAGAACAUUAGCUCUAGUUCUCAUAUCUAGAACAAAAUUUAUCAAAUUUCUUAAAAGAUUGUUUUUAAGUUAACUAAACCUAUAGAAAUGCGGCAAUUUGCUCUUUUGCGGAGUAUAGCUGGUAAUUUUAAUGUUUAAAACAUUAGGAAACUAGUAAUCCGUUUACUACAGCUUUUCUAAAGUUUAAACUAAAGAUUUGUGAAGUUCACCAUAUCUAGUACAAGUUGCCACAGCUAGCAGCUAAACCUCCGAGAUAGUAGCUUUUGUUUAUCCACCGUUGCCUCGGGCAAACGAUAGCUAUCAUAAGAUCGAGUUGAUAUAUAUAUAUAUAUAUAUAUAUAUAUAUAUAUAUAAUUUGUAUACAAACUAGAUGAAAAAUUAAUAUUAUGUAUGUAUACCGGUUUCUUUUAUGAUCUAUUUUCUCUCUAGUUUGGGUAAAAUCACUAUAAGAGGUAUAAAUGAACCUACGAGGAUUCUCUACCAAGGAUUAGAGACAUCUCGUAAUUCUUUGGGAUUUUUGCUUCAAAAUUGAUUCAAUCUUGGAAAUUUAGAGAGUAAACUUUUUAUAGGGAUUUUUAUUUAAGAUUUUUUAAGUUGAGUGGAGAAGAGGAGCUUUAUUCUAUUUACACCCAAUUCUAUCAAUGGAAGAGAGAGGAUCUCAAAAAGGAACUACGAAAACUAGAGUAGAUUCGGAUGUUACUCUACCUAGAUUCUCUAGGUUGUUAUCCCAACUCGAUCCCAAAGAAAGGAAAAUCUCUCUCUUUCUCCUCUCUCACUCUCUCCCUUUACUCUCACCCACUCCCCAACCGAUACUUCCCCUACAUAUAACUCCAUAGUAUAAACGUUGAUUUGUGAUUGGGAGUUUAUUAAGUAUUAGAGUUGGUCGGUUUUAGAAUACAAACGUCUCAACACAUGCCUAUACUCCCAAAGUCAUGACUAUGUGGUGAGUCUACAAAGCUAUAAAACCCGAUCGAGGUGUCCUGGGCUUGUAACCUAAAGAGACGAAAGAUAACAUAUAGCCAUAAGUGGAUAAAGUCAUAACCAUGGAUCAUGAAUCUUAACAAUGAAUCUUUUCAAGACGGUUUGUGGUAACUCUAAUAGAUUUAUCAAAGAUAAUAAUAAAGAGUGAUUUUGUGGCGAUAAACGUUUUCAAAUUACGUAAUGUAGCAGGGAAGGAUUAUUCCUCAAAGUAAGCGCUUUGAACUUUAAAGUAUGGAGUUCUCCUGAGAGAUUUAUUUAUUCUCUUUACUAGGAAUUAGCACGAAAGCUCGAGGGUUUUCCGAAGUGUGAGGAGUACCAACGAGGUGUUGUGAAACUGUAUACCCUACCAUAUCAAGGCGUUGCAGAAGAGAACAACCCGUUCCUACGAUUAGCCCAAGAGCAGUAUCGAGUUUAGGAGGAUAUUGAUAUCAUCGUCAUCGAUUACUUCACGCACCCUAGCCCAUGUAUGAACGUCACACCUCUAUACACCUUAUACAACACAUGAGGGUGUAUCGAACCCCCCAUCGUAUUAGAUCAUGCGGUGCCCCGGUAAAGGGAGGUUGUGGACCUUUCCAGGUUUCAUCGUUCCUGGAAAGAAUGAAAAGAAAAGAGAUUUUAAAUAAGAGCGUGGGUUUACGAAGCGGGAGAACAUCCUCUCUGGAAGUUCUUGUGUAUCGGGAGCUACGAUUUGAAAUUCAGCGCAGUUACGAACAGUCUCAUCGAAAAAACGACUGAAACACGACAGUUGUUGGAAACUGCACGUUACACUUGAAAGAAAAGUCGGAGAACGUGAUACAGACCCGUGUUCCAUCAAAAGAGUGGUUGGAGUGAGAUUACGUUACGUUUGGUCCUAAAGGAAGAUUUGUUGUGAAGUAUACCACGAUAGGAUUACGAGUAAACCUUCGAUAAUAAUCUCCGUUUUAAACAGUAAUCGUUUAUAAUAACGAUAGAUCAAAGCAUCAGAUCCUGUAUGCGGAUCUUGUUUGGGAGCUCCUAGAUUAAACAAAAGAGUUUAACGGGUAGUGAGACUCCUACUAUUCGUUACGACUUUAGUUCCGUACAGGGUUCCUAGAACACAUCUGAGAAGGUUUUGAUACUAUGUUUAGUUCCUAGAGUUAGGUUCUGUUAACUAUGGCCGUGAGAUAUCUCCACGUAUAGGAGUAGCUACAUUUAGGCACGGUUGAACCGUGAACUGGUUGACUACACCUAACCAUCUUUUAUUCGGUUGGAUCAGUUGACUAGAUGAUGGUGGGUUUAAUGUAGCUCCAAACGAACGCUAGUUCCAUUCGGGUGCCAUUUCAAGUACCGCUAAAAGAGGGUGAAGGUAUAACAGUGCGGGACGGGGCAUCGUGUCGCCUCCGGUACGCCCGUGCACGUGUCUGGCGGCUUGCCUGUUUCAAAUGGGAUAAACUAGUUCUGCGUUGUUUUAGUUAUGUAACUAAAGUGGGCCCUUUUUUUUGUGGUAUAUUAAAACGUGCUCCCGUAUAGGCUUCACUCUCAAUUUCAGAUUGAUAAUGUUGUAAGUUAGUAGGUUUUCCUAUGUAUGUAAAUGGUAGAAGAUAAUGUAAUAAGAUAUGUAAGGUGUUACCGAAAAUGUUAGAGAAGAAUAUCAUGUGUUCCCAUUUGAUGUAUCCCAUUGGAACGAUAGAUACCGCGGUGCGGGUGUGCAACCAGACCACGACGAGAUAAGUCCCAACUGAGACGUUUUAUCCUUACACUCUUGAUUUUUUUCAAAAGUCACCCGGGUCGACGGCUGGAUCGGCUGAAAGGGUGAUCCAGAUUAGUCCGUAUUUAUCUAUGUUCUUGUUCAUUAUUACGUUGAUGUAGCUCGUACAUAUCCUUACUUUCGUUGGUGAUGAUACGGAAAUGUUAUUACACCUUACUUAAAGUAACAGAUUCUACAAGUUGUCACGAGAAAUGAAUGAGAGCUGGGUUAAGUAAGAGCUGGAUUAGUCCCCGAAGGUGUUCUGGUUCGGGUCGAGUGUCGAGAGUCGGUGCUCCCUGAUCGAGAUGGCGAGGGGUGGAACCCGACGAGUGUUUCCAUCGUACUAGCAGGGCAGUGGGUUGUACACUGAGGUGAUACGAGUGAGAGAUGUGUACUACGUUGUUAUGUUUUAUCGUGUUUUAUGUUCAGAUAGAUAUGGGUACUAUGUAGUACGUUAGUCACGAUCGAUGACACUGUAAUAUUAUAGUUGUACCAGUUUAAGAGUGGUGUACGUGUGUAUACCUUAUGGUUUACGAAUUGCAAUUAGAUAGAAAAACGAAAUUGGGUUAACGUGGUGUUGAGUGAAGUGGUUUAGUGCACCCCAUCUCCAAAAAGUGAGGGCUCGGUGGUGGUACUAGCAAACGGUAUCUCCGUGGCAGCACUGGAAACGGAUAAAUACACACUGUGAGACCUUGAGUGCCGAACCCUCAGCGCUAGAGGUGUUCGGUUGUUGUUUGAUACACUCAUACGAAAGAGGCUGGUUAGGCACCUGGUUGGUGGAUGGUCACCCUUGUUGCUGGAAUACAGUACGUUAUGAGUUGUUACCGCUCCGUGGGUUACGGUGUGAUGUUCACGUUACUGGGUUAGAGAGAAACCGCGAGUUCCAAGUUUGUUGAGUACGGUGAUUGGUACCACUGUUGUUGUUGCAGUUCUCUAGAUAAAGUUAGAGAUCGUACCAGGUCUCUUAUAGAAAGUUAGGGAGUGUACGAGUUGUUAUAGUUUCGUGAUCAACAGUGCAAUGUGAACGUGGCUGGGUUUAAAAGAGGUGAAUAUGAUCUCUAAGGUGAGUUAAUACAGUGCGCGUAGUUAUCUUACAUGUUUGUAGUGUGAUACACCUGUAUUCAUUUAUACGUUACGAAAUAUUAUGUACUUUAUAUCGUUGUGUAAACCGUGUACGUUACUGGGUUAAGGUAUAAAUGUGAACCCUGAGAGAGCAGUACGGUACAAGAAAAGUACGUAUUGUUAGGUAUGGGUUAGGUAAUGAGAUAGUGAUUUAAAUGUAAGUUGUAGUAUUACCGUAGAUCAUAGAGCGAAAUAAGGUUAUAGAUGUGAAACAAAAGAUAUAGGUUUGGUGAUCAAAAGAGUUGAUCAAGUUAUGGAGUAAUCCCAAGUACACAGUGAUUCAAGUACGUAAGAUUUAAGGUUCAAGAGUUAGUGUUAGCAAGAAUAUAUAGUAACCUGUACGUUCAAAGACCUUAUUCUUAAUUAACUUGGGAUAAUGUAUGUUAAAUAAGUGUAUGUGUAUGUAAGUUCCUUACCCUAAAUUUGUAUCCCUCUUUAGGUUGGUAAAGCCUCUCGUGGUGGGUGGAACCAAUUAAUGAUUAACGAUCCUAAAGGUUGUUAAACUAAAAGCUACGACUAAGCGGAGGUGGGUUCGGAUUUCUUACUUUGAACCGUUUAAGAGGAUUAACCUAGAGCAUUGGAGUAGCACUAGGUUUAGUUUCAACAAGAGAUACAGCUUGAUGGAAAGUUAAUCUCUAAAUAUUCCAGUUUUAUAAAAAUUUGGGAAAAUUUAGGGUUUAGGGGAAAAACUGGGUCCCAAAGGUUCUUAGGUUCUUUUUGGAUUAAAGAGAACGAUGAGAGGUGGUUAACAUCGAAUCUAAUCAGAUCCCAAGUAGUUUUAGGGUAAAUGUUCCAGAUUUAGGUUUGGGAUUACAGUUUGACGUAUUCAAAUGGAGUUUAAGUUCGAGUUGAUCGAGUUGAAUCGUGGUUCUCCGAACGAGGUUCGAACUAAAGGUGUUCGGGGGCACCAACCUUCUUCUACCUCUUUUCCUCCUCUCUCUAGGAGAGAGAAAGAGAAAGGAACGCACACACGCACACACACCCCGAUUGUCUCUUUUUCCCUUUUACCAGAGAAAUAUAUUCGGGGGUGGUACUUUAAUAGUUUUAUGGGUAAUUGUGACAUAAGACAUCUUGACGCAUAGCCAUGAGCCCGUAAAUCAAGAUUAUUGGGCAGUGGUCAAGGAGUUUUGGGCUUAUAUGACAGUGCGGGGCCCUGGGCCGUAUCCGGGCGGGCCACGCGCGGGUCUGGGCGGUAUACAGAUGUGUAUAUUCCGCAGACGUGUUUACGCUUUCUCAUUUCGUACUCUUCUAGAUGUUGAUCUUUUUUUUUCACUAUUUAGAGUAAGAUCAGUACCUCUGAUUUUAAAUUCAAGUCUUUUAUCAUCAUUUUUUAUGAAAUUUUUAUUUUCUGCCGUUCAUUUUUAGACUACUCGUUUGAUAGGUAAAUAAUACCGAAAAAUUAUGAAAUUUAGUUUCCAAAUACUUUUAAUAGUGUAGAUCAAAUUUAAUGGAGCCGAUCAUUGAUUUGGAAGCCGCAUCAUUGAAAACAACUUGGUAGCACGGAGAUCUCCGUGCUACCGAUAGUAUACCAGCAUAGCUCUAUAUAUAUAUAUAUUUAUGCAUUAUGUAUAGUCUUGUUCCAAAAUUGUAGCUUAAUUUUGUUUUGGGUCAAUAUAAGCAAAUUAAAAUUCCAUGUUUCAAUUUGAUAGCUUGUUCAAACCGUGUUCUGUGUUACGAUUGGUGCCAGUAGUGGACAUGGUUGUUAAGAAAGCUAGUUUAAAAACAGCACUAUUAUUGGAAGUAGGGGUCCUAAUCCAGAUCAAAACUUGUUGAGACAAACUAAUCAAUCCGAUCCAGACCCGAUCAACUUGAGCUAAUGAGCAUGUGGGUUGGGUUUGGUAAAGCUUGUAUUUUGUGAAGUGGGUUAUGUUCAAAUUGCUACUGGGUCAAGCUAGAUUUAUUGGUCUAGUUAGACCUACUUCAACCAGGAUUAAACUCAUUUUCAAAUAAACUGGACCCAUUUCUGACCCUUAUCUGAACAUAGGGCUAUAUGUUGGGUUGGGCCACACUAGGUUCUAGUGCCAAACUGACUAUUUAGUCUUUUGGCCGAUUUUAUUUUGGGAUCAAACCAAUCUAAACUAAGCCAGCCUUAAGGGUGACACUUACCUAUGCUGUAGUGGGUAAAGAAUAGGCUUUAUUUGUUUUUGCCCUAACUCAUCCUGGACACAACUUGGGUUAGAUCUAUGUGAAACCUAAGCCCAAAGUUGGUCUUUUCAGGUUGUUGCUAAUCAGACCAGCUAGUCUUAUGAAACUCAGCGUUGAAAAGAACUGAGAGAGCUUAAUGUACUGAAGGUUUUCUGUUCUCAGUGAGUAAUUUUGACUUUGAUUUACACUAUAACCAGCUUGUUAAAUUUAUCCGUUAAUGCGAACUAAGGGUCCUCAUCAGUAGGUAAAGAAUUAUAUAGGUAUAUUUACUUUUGGAAAUUGAAAGUCAAUCUUUUUGGACUGAUGUGGAGCUAUAUCGUUCAUAUAUGCAUGUGGAAAUGUUUAUUCUGCAAAUUACUUGCUUUAUGCUUUCGGUGGUUGGUGUAUCUUCCUAUAUAAUUUUCUGUGGAUGAGCAUGGUUUUAUGUAAACGGAAUUUAAGGGUCUGAUUCAAUCUUAUUAGUUAACAGUGAUCAUUUUGUUCCUGCCUGGGCCAGUAGGACUGACGAAUUCUAUCUGCUUAGUUCCUUAUACUAUUUUGAGUUGCAAACUCUAUCAGUCACCUUAUACUUAAGGAUGCUUAAGGAUUUUGUUGCAUGUAAAAUAUGAAAACACGGUUCUUUAGUAGCUUAAGAGUUUGGAGAACAAUGAUUGUUUCAUAUUUUUCAACAUGGUAUCAGAGCAAGAGUUCUUGAAUUUAAAUUUCGCCGGACUCCUAACAUUGUUUAAUUUUCUCCUUUUAAUUAAGUCCGUGUUUUGAGCCUAUUAAAAAGUCUUGAGCCUAGAUAUCAGGGGGAGUGUUGAAUAUAAAAUAUAAAAAAUAUCUUUCUCUGACAGCUUAAGCUUUUUGAGAAUAAUGAUUGUUUCACUUAAUUUUAUAUGGUAUUAGAGUAAGAGGUUCUGAAUUCGAGUCAUGCCAGACUCCAAUUAAUUUCCUCCUAUUUAAUUGAAGUCCACGUCUUGGCCUAUCAAAAAGUGUCGAGUUUAGAUGUGAGGGGGAGUGUUGAAUAUAAAUAUUAAGAACAGCAUACUCUGGCAGCUGAAACUUUUGGAGAACAAUGGUGGUUUCACUUAAUUUAAUAGAUUUUAUUCUGCAAGUGUAAACUCAUUAUUCAUAUAAUUUUUUGUUCCAGGUAUAUAGAUUAUCUAUUUUUGGGCGACUAUGUUGACCGAGGGCAACACAGCUUAGAAACUAUCGCUUUGCUCCUUGCUCUUAAAGUAAGUUUCUGUUCUACAUCUUGUUCCCAUGCCCAGAUAUUACACACCGAAAAAAGGACUUGAGAAAUACUUUGAGCCAAAAUCCUUUUUAAAAUUGACAAUAUGGCAUUUAAAUUAAUGAUCUACACUGUUGGAUAUGAUCUGGACUGUUUAAAGUAAUCGAAAACCAACAUUAUUGUUUUCGGAUGCUUUUCUAUGCAUUUUACUAUGCAUCAAGUAAUCUCGAAAUUGUCAAUUUUGAUGGUUGAUAUAAUGUGUUUAAAAAUGACACUGAUAGUUGAAUUUGUAAGCAAAUAAUUUUACACGCCUAGAUGUUGUCAAACUAAAAAAAUUUACAUGUCUAGCUCAUCCAAAUUGAAGGUGAACAACUUCAAAAUGAUGUGUAAUAGAUUCAUAAUUUCUAUAAGCAAUAACAUAUCAAAGUUUAGGCCAUCUAAGUUGAAAAUCAACACAUUUUUUAUGAUCUGAAAGCUUUACAUAAUAUAUGAAUGAAAAAGCCUUUUAACCAGCAGUGUUUGAAAAGGCGUGCCUCAGGAGUGUGCCUCAGCGUCUAGGCGCGAGGCGCGAGUCUCACCGCCUCAAGGAGUGAGGCGCAUGCCUCAGACGCGCCUCGUGAUAUUUACGUUUAAUGUGUUUAGGGUUUGGGUUUUUGGGUUUUGAGUUUCUUCAAUAUAUCCUAAAAUGUUAAGGAUUUUUCUUUAAAGAAAUUCUAAUUUGAUUGUUUCCUUUUCCUUUUCUCUUGGUCGUUCUCUUUUCCACCCCUCAAUGGCAAUAAAUAGCAGCGGCAAGAAGCAAGAAGUAGCAGCAAAUACUUUUAAGUUGAAAGUUGAAACAUAAUUUUUUUAUUUUUAGGCUAAGAACAUUUAUGCAUGCGAUUUUUUUUACUUUUUUAUGGUUAUUUUGUUUUUGUAUAACUAUUUUAGAAUUUUUUAACAUAAAACAUUCAUUUAAAAUAGGCUUGUUAAGAGUAUUUUAUUUUUAUUAGAUAUGCGCCUCGCCUUCUUGAGGCGCGCGUCUCUCGGUGCGCUUCGCGUCUAGGCUCCAUAAGCCCUUUGCGCCUUUUUGCACCUUGCAUCUUUUCAAACACUGUUAACAAGAUUUUGUUAUUUAUCUUUUGAAUGUGUACAACAAUGAAUGAAAUUUAUAAUGCAAUACAAGAUUUCGUCAAAAUUGAUGCUACAGUAUCUAAGUCACAUAUAUGUUGCUUGAAAGAUUUUGAAUAUGAUGUGUUUCUAGCUACUUUUAGUUUUGUAGGUUAGGGAGUGGAUCAUUGGCUCGGUUGGUUGAAAAAUGCUUUGAGAUUUGAUGUUUAGUGUGUGGUUGAAACCACACACCAUGUAUAUAUUGAUACUGCAAGUAGAAAAAUUAUUUUAAUGCUUCUGACCUGUCUUCAUUGAACAUGUACAGAUAGAGUAUCCUGAGAAUAUUCACUUGAUAAGAGGAAACCAUGAGGCUGCUGACAUUAACGCUCUUUUUGGUUUUCGCCUUGAAUGCAUUGAGAGAAUGGUAGGAUCCAAGGAGCUAGGUGCAUAUGCUUGUGGUUGAAUUAUUACAGGCUACUUACCGUCUCAUUUUGUAGGGAGAAAGUGAUGGAAUAUGGGCAUGGACUCGUUUUAAUCAACUUUUCAAUUAUCUUCCCCUUGCGGCUCUAAUAGAGAAGAAAAUUAUUUGUAUGCAUGGUGGCAUUGGGAGAUCCAUAAAUUCUGUCGAGCAGAUUGAGAAACUUGAGAGGCCCAUCACAAUGGAUGUUGGAUCUAUAAUCCUAAUGGACCUAUUGUGGUACUCUUUAUUCUGCUAUUCAAUGAAACAUAAUUUGUUAUUCAUCAUGCCUAUGACUUGUGUGGCCUGGACGGAGCUUCUGUAGAACUGUUGUUUGAGUAUAUAUGCUCGUCGAAGUACUACUAGUAACCAUUGCUCUAAAAUGUCUGCAGCUUCUUGCUGCCGUAAGAGUUAAAGCUUCGAAUUAUAUUUUACUUUGAAGCUUCGACUUAUAUUUUACUUUGUAUGCCCAAAAACACGACUUACCUCUUGGCGACAGCAAGAGCUCUAAAUUGAAUGCGCUUGGUUUCUGAAUUUUCUGCUUUCCGGAGUAGAGAAGCUAUUUGUGAAGCCAAGGCAAAAAUUCACUUACGGAUGCCUUUUAAUCUUCAGGUCUGAUCCUACAGAGAAUGAUAGCAUAGAAGGCUUAAGACCAAAUGCGAGGGGACCUGGCUUAGUCACUUUUGGGGUAUGGUGGUAUAUAAGUUGUAGAAUGCUUCAUAUUCUUUUUAGCAACUUCCUAGCCCAGUUGUUAAUUUUAUUGUUAAUGGUGACAGAGUUCUUUUAUACGCUUAAAUACUGCUUCUAGAAUUUCUUAUUAGAGGAUCACUUAAACAUGACACUUUAUUUUCGAAAUUCUUUCUGAAGUAAAACUUUGUUAUUGUUUAUUCUGUUAAUAUUUCUUCUUGCUUAGUUGCAUUCUUUAAUUGGCAAUAGCAUGGUUUCAUUUUUGGUUUUGGUUUAAAGACAAAUUAGGAGAUCCUUGUUCUAAUUAUUCUCUUCGCCAUGAAGUGUAACAAGAUGUUUUUAAAUAUGCUUCUCUUUUCUCUUUCUGUAAUGUGGCAGCCUGACCGUGUCACUGAUUUCUGUAAAAGAAACAAGCUUCAGCUCAUCAUAAGGGCUCAUGAAUGUGUUAUGGAUGGGUUUGAACGGUUCGCUCAUGGCCAGCUGAUAACUUUAUUUUCAGCUACUAAUUAUUGCGGUAAUGAAACUUAUUUUUCUCAUUUCUGUUGGUGAUCAUUCUCCAUUAUUACACAUUUUUUGUACUAAAUUGUGGCUUUGCAUCAGGUACUGCAAACAAUGCUGGCGCAAUUUUAGUGGUGGGUAGAGGGUUGGUUGUGGUUCCAAAGUUGAUCCAUCCACUUCCGCCACCUAUUCAAUCACCAGAGUCCUCGCCGGAGCACGUCUUGGAAGAUACUUGGAUGCAGGUGAGCAAAUCUCCCCUUGCACAUAUUAUUACUAGGGAUAAUACUAGUUUCUGAUGGGCUACUGUGGACAUAGUGUUUUCUGUAUAUCAAUAGCCAUGAUGAUCCUUUGACUUGUUCAUUGUUUGCUUUUGUAUCCUAUGAACUCUCUCCAAGGUUUAGGAGGAUCUUUCAUUAAAUAUUGAUUCCAUAUUUGCAGUUUGUAGUAAUAUAAAUGUUUUAAGUAUUAGGCGAGAUGAGAAACUCCAAUAGACUGCCCAGCAGAUAUUUUGCUGGCGGGAGGCACGCUUUGCUUCCUAGUGAAAUUCAGUACUAGGGUAUUCAACCCAAUUAUCCAUACUGCUGGCCAUCAUUUAGAUUAUUUACAGUUAUAGGUCAUAUUUCACUAACAGAGCAAGUCGUCUAAAAAUGGACAAAAUUUUCAACAAUUGAUGUUAGCUAUUUGUCUCUCGAACGCUAUAGAACAUUCCAAAACUCAUUAAAAUUUUGUGAAAUAAUAUAUCUAUCUAGAUCAAUAGUUAUAAUGUUGAUUGUCCAAUUAGGAAUCACAUCAUCUCUUUUAGUUUUUUUUCUUCUUUUUUUUUUUCUUUUUUGGAUUGAUUUGGGCUUGAUUUAUGUUGUGUCCAUUUGAUGCAAUAUAAAUUAUUUUCUGAAGAUUAGUGUGUUGUGGUUUCUGGAUAAAAACUUUAAAUACUUUAGAUCAUGUAUAAUGCUACUGAUUGUUGAUGCCUUUUCUCUCAUAUUAAUACAUUACUUUAAAUAUAAUUUCCUAGUGUCUUAAGCGGGCACAAAAUGAAAGGUGAAACUGAACCUGUAAAAAUAGAGGAUAGAAUUCUUAAUUUAAGGUCAAGUGUGUUGAUCUUGAACUGGAGGGUGAAAGAUUAUCGUCUAAUAAUAAUUCAACUUAUCUCGAUUCCUCUAUAUCAUUAAACAACAAACACCUCCUAUUGGCUGUUAAAAUUGUUAAUUUUGAGACUCCUGAUAAUUAGGUAGAUGAUGUCAAAAUAUUAUGAAAUUUUAGUUCCUCGAGACUUAAAAAACUCAAGAUCAUAUUUAGUUUGGUUGAUUCUCAAGUAGGGGGGUUAGGCUACUUUGAUAGUACUAGGAAAGUAGUGCUUUAUUUGUUAAAAGGAAAUUCCAAACAUACCAUCCUGUAUCUUCUUUCAUAAAGUGUAGUACCAUACUACCAUGGAAUUCUCACCUAAAUCUAUUACAGUCAAGCUACACUAAAUCCAUUCUCAGGAACUUAAGAAAGAGCUUAGCAUUUGAUCAUAUAGUCGAAGGCAUCUAAAUGCUUGAUUCUUGCAGGAGCUUAACAUUCAGAGGCCUCCUACUCCAACUAGAGGCAGGCCGCAAUCUGCGAACGAUCGGAGUUCUCUUGCUUAUAUAUGACCAUGACGUACGGCAAUUUUCUGUUGUAUUUUCUCCACCAGAACCUGUCUGGUUUUGUGCUCCUAUGGUACAUAACAUAUAUCUCGGCAUUCGUCUAGUGGUUAAAGUGCCUGAUUCAGCAUCGGCUUAAGUGCUUCUUGUGAUGAGAGGUAUUCAUCAAGGCAAUAUAUUAGAUAGAUCAUUUGUAACUCUAGUGUACAUGAUUAAGUUAUAAGAACUUCUUGUAACAUAUGUAAAAUCCGAGGCGCACAGCUAUAUGUGAAUCGCUUGUUGUACAUGGCAAAACAGCUGAGAUUUAUCUGGUUUUUAUUUAAAGAGAUUAGGUAAUAAAGUUCGUCUUUGCAACUUUAUACAUAUUGCCUUCUCAUUACUGUCAUGUUGUACGCUGUGAAUAAUUCAUAAAUUUACUUUUAGCUGAGCUAGUAACUGAAUGAAUGGAAUGAAAAAAAAAAAAAAAAAAAAAAAUCGUGGAUAGUGUCGGCUGAGACUCUCUUGUUGUUUACUGGAACUUGUGAAAAUGUCAGAAUUCUGGGUGAAAUUAUUUUAUGAGCUGAAAUUGUCAUCAUCUCUACCAAUAGAACUAGUGUAAGGGUAAAGGUGUUAAGAAAUGGAUAUCAUCUUUUUGAGUCAAUUUUUUUAUCGAUCUUGGUGUGAUCUCUACCCUUGAUAUGUUUUUGAUGCAUGCAGUUAUAAACUGUGGUGUAAAGCAUUGUUUUUCCGACUAUUCUUCAUGUGUAAAUUAGGUUGUAAUAUACUUGCUUAUGAGAAGUGGAUUGCAUUGCUUCCCUGCUCCUUUUUCUGCAACUCAACCUCCCUGUGGUUGGAAUAUUAGUGAUAUUCUGACAACUUAAGAUUGUUUGAUGGGAAAACUUCAAAUACCACUCAUGUGGUUUCACACUUUCUUAUUUUAGUACCUUGUGAUUUAAAGUGUAUCAAUUUAGUGCUCUGGGCUUUCAUUUUUAUUUUUUUAUUAUUGAUUUCAGUAAUUUUUUUCGUUAAAUCAGUAACAAACUUAAAACUAAAGGGUAUUAAAGUGAAUAUUUGAAAAAUUCAGGUUUGAUAAAUUUAGGUGAGGUAUUUGAAGUUUAUUGUAUAUAAUUUAACGAAAUAUUAAUGGAAAAGCUGACGAAAAGAUUAAAAUGAAACUAUAGAAUACUAACUUGAUAUACUUUAAACCACAGAGCAUUAAAGUGAGAAAGUGCGAAACUACAGGGGUGGUAUUUGAAAUUUAUCCUUGUUUGAUGGACCAUUUAUAUUUGUGCAAUGUUUGGUUCAAGUUGAAAGAUUUGCAUUUUCGUCGUACAAAAUAAUUAUUUUUGCGAAUGUUCUUUUGGUCUGAUGUGAAUUGAUUCUACUGAACUUGGUUUCCUGUGAUAAAAAAUGAGAAUGGUAAUAUCUGUAUCCUUCGAUGGAAGAUUUUUUAUUUUUUUUUAUUUUUGUCCAAAUUACAUAGAACAAACAGAAGCUUAUGUUGUCUGGUUUAACCCAGCAAGAAAAACGAACUAUUGAUGGAAAUGCGUAGGGUUCUGGGAUGCCCCAACUAUUGUAUUCUUUUCUUUCUAUGUGAUUUUUGUUUUCAUUUCUCGUUGGACGAUUCAAAACUCUUUGCUUAGCUAAAAGAUGUUCAACACUAUUGCAUCCAAGGUCAUUCGCUGCGACUCCACAGAAGAGUACGCGCGCUGCAAAAGGCAGCCAGCUUAAAAACGCUAGCUAGCUACUAGAGUAGCCUUAUUUAAACGUUUGGUUGCCUACGCUUGCUCUCCGGUGCGCUACGGCAACACCUUGACUCUCCCCUGCUUGCUUCUUUCUCUUCCACACGGAUGCUACAGCCGCUAUCACUUUGGCUGCUGGAGGGGAAUUACAGAGUUCGCCUCUCGACAUCUUGUUUGGUAAACGGGAUUUUGACCCAGGCGCCUUCAUAGUUUGGUUACAACCCAAAAAUCAAAUCAAAUCAAAUCAAUCCGAAUUUCUCUUUCGAGAGAAUGGUAGUAUGUUAUGGUUCCUUUUCAUUCGUUUUUAUGUUUUCACAGAUAAAUUUAAUCGGACAUACAAAGCAACUGAGUUUCAAAUUUGAAAUUUCGGAUAUCAACUAAUCAAGCUCUUAGUCAUUUGUGCUAGGAACGGUCGGUGAACCAAUCUGAACUUGAGUUUUGGUUUGGUUUGAUUUGGUUCUGUUUCUAAUUUAGCUAUUCUGUUUUUGAUUUUCUGUUUUCGAUUAUGAUUCGGUAUUUCAAAAUUUUCCAACCAAACUAAACCAAACAACAAUUUUUUUUGAAAUUUAUUUAGAUCUAUGCACUGCACUUCAUAAUUGAUAAUUUAUAUCCUAAAAUAAGAGUUUCAUUUAAUAUAUCUGUUCUUUGAUAUUUAGGAAGGUUGAGUUAAAAACAAUAAAAGAAAAAGAAAAGAAACAUGAGUUUUUAAAUGUACAUUACUUAAAUAUUAAGAUGCAUGAAAAAUUAAAAGUGGAGGAUGAAUUGCUGUUUGAUUCAUUAGAAAAUAGUGUUGAAAAUUUUUUUUCUUCUAACAUAUAGGUGCUUUAAGGGCUUUUUUUGCAUUUGGCUCCCUCAAAAUUUUUUUUUUCACAAAUAGUUCUAUCAAAUUUAGAAUUACGAUUUUGGCCCUAUCCCUGCUACGCAGGCUCCACAUCAGCGUCACGCAAAUGAGCUGGGGCAUUAAGUUAAGCAUGGUGAAUCAUUCACUGUAUUCAAAUACGGUGAAUGAAUGGUUGAUUAUGUUCAAUACUUAUAUUCUCCAUAUUCAAUACUAUUCACCGUGUUUGGACAUGGUGAAUGGAUUACUAUUUUCAACUUAUUCCCUUACUCACGUGACGUUUACGUGGCGACUGCAUGGUGGGAAUAGGUCCAAAAUUGUAAACAUAAAUUUGGUGGGGUUAUUUGUAAAAAUAAGUUUUUUGAGGGGGCCAAAUGUAAAAAAAGCCCGUGCUUUAAAUAUUGUAAAACACUUGUGAAGAGUUGAAUUUCGAAUUCAAAACUUAUGAAACAUUGAGUUACUGGUAGUGUUUAAUAUUUAAUUAUACACCUGGUGCAGCCAUACUUUCUCCUUCAAAUGAUAUAAUUCUAUGAUCAGUCCCUAUACUAUAUGAAUAUAGCAAGAUGGAUCUUAUAGUUUUUUCACUUAUACAGAUUGGAUUAAACUUGUGACAAACUUUACAAUCUAAUUAAAUUUAGUAACAAUUUAAUAAAAUUGGAUAUACAUCAAAUCAAAUCAACAAAUUUGAUGUGAUAAUUGACAAUUGAUUUGAAAUGAUAACUCGCUACUUAAUAGAUAAAUUAUAUUUAUAUCUGUAUCAAAUCAUUACUAAUAUAACAAGAUGUAAGGUCGUAAUUUAUGAAUAUAAAAUAAAGUUAUAUAUCUAACAAUACUUAAUUUGACAGUACAAUAAAGCCACGUGGCGAGAGGAGGAAGGCUGAUACCACGUGUCACUCUUUUAGAGAGAUGGGGCCAAAUAAAAAAAAAAAAAAAAAAACAGGCUGUAACAGCUGCAGACCCAUCUCUCCCCCGUUCCCUCCCCCUCAACCUAUCUCGAUCACCCUCUCUCUCUCUCCCUUUCUCUCUCUACCCCUCAUGCUCUCUCUCUCUCUAACUCUUGCUCUCUCUCUCUUACUGUCUGUCUCUUGCACUCUCUCUCUACCCCUCGCGCCCGUCCCUCUCCUCGCCCCCACGAUUUCUCUCUCUUCAAACCUCGGCGGCUCGGCAUGGAUUUCUCUCACUUGCCCUAAUGGCUCUAACCCUAUACCCAUCGACCCUACAGGUGAGCCCUCUCUUUGCUUCGCCUUCUAUUCUCCAGAGCUUACAGCUGAGCCCUCUUCUGUUGAUGGCUCUACCCCUAUACCUAUUGAGCCUACAGGUGAGCCCCCUCUCUACUUCCCCUUUCUAUUCUCUGGAUAUACUAUUCUCUGCUGCUGAUGGCUUGAUCCCGUAAUGUGCGGUUGUGAUGGAACCAUCUAUGUGGUGGCCCCUAACCCUAAAUCUACUUGGCCCCUAUGCCUGGCUUUUUGGGCCCUACUUCUAACCAGAGCCAAAAAAGGGCAAAAUGGGGGGCGGGGGGAGAUAUGUCAAGAUUUGGUGAUAUCAUCCCUACGCUAGCCUCCUUUAGUAUUUUUAUUUUUUUAUAUUAAAGCCUCUUCUGCUACUCUGUACUUGCUAUAACUACUAAAGGCUAUAAUGUAACACCCCGUACUUUUAAACUUCUUUAUUUGACUCCUACUCUUAUUAAGUUUGGACUUUUUCGUAAAUUCCUAUCUUCGAGGGAUUCGGCGGCAUUUUGUUACUUAAUUAGUAUCUAACUUAAUUAAUUUUCUCCCUAACCCUCACCCGAUCAAUCCCUCUUUUUCCCCUCUCCUACGACUCGCUUUUUCUCUCUUCCUCACCGCAUCCGUAUGACCUCUGUCGUUCCGCAAGUGCGCACGCGACGCCAUCCGAUCGUCGCCAUCAUCCGUAGCCGCCUCCGCCGCAAUCCUUUUUGGCCGUUAUUUUUGGUUCACUAUUGACGGCAUCCUGCCGUCAUCUUCACCAUUUUCGAGAAGGUUUUUCUCUUUUCCUUAUUUUAUCUCUAUAUCGAACCUUGUGAUCAUCCAACCUUCUUGUUUAUCGUUAUAUUAUUAUUUUGAAUAUUCGCCUCAUGAUGAUCGAAAUUUAAAACUAUCAAAAUCUGAUUUGCUUUGAUCUAAAUAUGUGUUAUUCGAUCUAUCAUUUUAUCUUGUAUUCCUAUCUGAUUUAGUUAUAUAAAUCCUCCAUAUUCUGCAUGCUUCUUGUAAUGCUCCUUAUAUGUUUGAUAAAAUGCCUAAGAGAGGGUGAACUUUGCCUUUGUUUCUAAUUCCGAUCCUAUCUGAUUGUAAAUUGCCUAUUAAUAUUUCAACAUCUGAAAACCCUCUUUUCGAGCAUUAGACCCUUCGUUUAUUAUUUAAAACUUCAUUCAUCUUAUCUUGCUUCUUUGAAUAUUUUAGUUUUUGAAACUCUCAAUUCUCUUGAUUGUUAAUUCAGUUUCUUCGAGUUCAUUAUUCUAAAUCUCUUUCGUGCUCCGUCUUGCCCUUUUGCAUGCAUCUGUAGUCGACAUUGUCGACCUAUGUGAACCUAUCCGAAUUCAAACUUUUGUAUAAGCUUGCUUUCUAAAUAUAUAUGUUCUCUUUGUAAGUUUAUUUUUAAAUAGCUUAUAGAGAAUCAUAUAUCUCUAUUUUAGGUUCUGACGAUUGAUCUCGUGCAAUUUUCGAUUGGAUAGCUUCUUAACUUAGAAGCCGCUUUUGAAGUAAACGACUGGACACCCGUUAGUUUUUCGUAAGAUAAUUUAGAAAAAUAUUUCGAUUGUAUGAAAAUUUUAUUUUGUAGAUUUUAAAAUUAAGGGUUAAGCAUAUUAUUAAAAAUUUCUGUAAAUUGAGCUUCAACUGUGAUUGACAAGUUCUUUUAGCAAAAUAAAAUUUUGAAACUUGAUAAUCUGUUUUGUAAAUUAGUGACUGGAUAAUUUUUGAAGUAUGAUGUCUCUUGGUAUUCUGCUAUGCUAAUGUUGGCCAUGUCGACAUGUAUUUUGUUAUAGAAGCGAGCUUCGUCUUUGUAUUACGCCUUCGGGUGCCUGCGCCUAUUCGCGCCUCUGCUUUGUUUGCGCCUACGGGUGCCUCUGGUUUGUACAUGCACCUUUGGUGCCUUUGUUCUGUUUGCGCCUCCGGGUGCCUCUGUUUUGUUUACGCCUUCGGGUGUCUUUGGAUCUCGCCAACAGAUCAUAUGAUAUAGUUAGGUACCGGAGACUUAAGAUCUAUUUCGUUUAUUUGCUGAAUGAGAAAUACAUUUGAAAAAAAUUAUAAUUUCAGACCAAUCUAAAUUUUUGAGUUUUGAUAAAUUCUUGUUUUCUAAAUUUUGCAAAUUAAAAACCAGUCGCUUGAAUUAAUUUUUGUAUUCGUUUAUUUAUUUGUAUUGUAUGCUUAAUCCGACUAAUGUGGUGUAUGGUUGCUUACCCAGGUACCGAGACCGAUUUGCCGGGCGGGGCUGAGACCCAGUGAACGUUAGACGUAGCUAGUUUUGAUUUUUAGUCCUUUUAGUUUUAUGCCUAGCAUAUUUAGAUGUGAAUAUUUUUUUUUGGACAUCGUAAAUGAUCGUUUGUUAUCUUUUAUUUCGUUAUUUCUUCGUACUCACCUUUGUUAAUUAUAAUAUUUAGUGGACCGAAUUUAUGGUAUUUCUUAGUAAGCUUUAGUUUUAUAGAUGUUAGAAUUCCAUUUGAUUUUAGUUAAAAUUCAAUUUCUUAGUCUCAUCCUAUGAUUCUUUGGAUUUAGUGGAAAAUUUGGUAAUCAUCUUUUUGCUAGCUUCCGUCUGAUUCUGUAGCCUUGUAUAUUUGCUAGUUUAGCAGGUAUGCGGCGUCUAUUACGCCUCGGGUUUGGGCAUGACAUAUAAAUAGCAUUCUUCCACACAAAGAUCUGAACUGUCCUCUCUCUGCAUUAUAAGGUAGAAUAUAUUUGUGGCAGGACACAUUCUACACCUCUGUUUCCUAAAACUAUAAGUACUAACUUAUUAUCCCAUGAUUUUAGGCACCUAUAUUUUUCAGUUUUGAAUUUGAAUAGCUCCAUCUCUGCAGUAUAAGGUAAAGUAUAUUUGUGGCAGCAGAUGUUUUACACCUCUACUACCUAAAUCUAUAGUACUAACUAAUCCCACAAUUUCAAGCGUUUAUAUUAUCCCCUGCUGUUAUUGACUGCAUACUGUGCUAGGUGCACCCCUCUCUCUCGCUCCCUCUCUACCCGGUUUUCAUACUGCUUAAUUCAUUUUUUCGCUUUCUUGUGGCUGAUAUGUGGAGUCAGAUUGCCUCCUCUCACCACCUGGCUUCGUUAUAUUGUCAAAUUAAGUAGGGCGUGUUCACGCCCUACGCUAAAUAUCAAGUGUUCUUUGUAUUCCUCCCCUUAUUUUAUUUGCUUUUGUAUUUUUAGCGGAUUAGUUCUUGCUCUUGAAUUUAUUAUUAUUUUUUUUAUAUCUUCAUCUUUAACGGGUUGUUUACAUUUGUUUUUUACUUUGCGUGUCCUUGGUUCCUAUCUCUGCAUUUUAAAUUUAAGGAUCUGCUAUUGUUUUUCCUGCAUUUUAUUACUUUUGUAUGUUUUUUCUUACUUACUUCUCUUUGUUUCUAAUUGGUUGUUUACAUCUAUGAAUUCUAUUUGUGAUCUACUGUUCCAUCUUCUUGAUUUGUAUCUCUUAUUUUUUAUCAGUUUGAACGUUGCUAUUGUAUUUCUUGUUUUUAUCAGCUCUCAGAUUUUCAACUUCUUUUUGUGAUGCCGACGACUCUUUAGAGCAUGUACAAUGCUAACAGGUUGGAUGGCCUGUUGUUAGGCAACCCUGUAAUGGUAUUUUUUUACACCUCGGUUUUCCUAGCUGUCUUUAUUUUCAACACCUAAUUUUAUUUUUUCUUCAAGGCAAUGAUGAACCUGGUUACAAAAAAGUGUGAACUCAGAUCUUGGCUUUGCCAUUGAAAUUGUUCACCAUUUCCUGAAAAAAAAAAGAAAAAAAGUGUUGGUUGGCUGGAGUGGAUUGGAUGGUCUAUUCAAAGGCAACCAUAUGCAACAGAUUGGACGGCCUAUACAAUUGCAACCAUCUACCGCUGUUUGUUGCCUGACUCUACUGUGUUGGGGCUUUCCAUACUCUUUUCAGUACUUUGUUCUGUCCCUGCAAGCAUUUCGGUUGGUAUUGCCUGCUCAAGUGAUGAAGGAAGUUGUUAAAAUUGGUCCAUUUCUCACACUUUACCUGAGCCUAUCUAUUUUGUAAGCUAAAUUAGUAUGUAAUGUGUUUAAUAUCUUCUGUGUUUGUGCUUUAUUGCUUUCUUGGCUCAUAUUUUGGUAUCUUCCCCUUUCCCACUUUAUGGUUUUUUGCUUUUAUUUUUGUGUUUUUUUCCCUGAUGCUGUUUUCUUUUUCACUUCUUACUCUCUUUAAUAUCAGUGCUGAUUCACUGUUCUUUUAGUAUGUUUGUUCAUAUUUUUUUUUCUGGGUUGUGUUUCACCCUUCCCUUCGUGGUUUUUCUCUUUUAAAUUCUAUGGAUAUUUUCAUUGAUUUAUUGAGACUAUGAUGAUACCUAAUAAAAAAAAAGAGGCUGUGCAGUGUCGAACUCAUGAUAGGCAAUGAUUCUUUACAAUGCAAAUGCGGUUAACUGACAGUGGUGGAUUGUAUGCCCUGAAUAAAGACAACCAUCUACUCCGGAUUUGGAUGGCCUGCCUGUUCACGCCUACCCAACUACUACUGUGGGCUUUACAUUCAGGUUUGCAUUAUUUUUUUUUUUUGCUUUGGUUUGGACCUAUCUAAGCAAUUGUGUCAUGAACACUUUAACCGCAGCGAAGCGCGGGGUUUUUCACCAGUAUGAAUAAUAUAAGAAAUGGCUCCUUGAUGGUGCCACGUGGUGUUUUUGGGUGCCCUCUCAUUUUUUAUUUAUAUCAUAUAGUUUGUAAUAAAUAAUAUUUUUUAUAUUAUGAUAUUAAUAGUUUUUAUUACUAAGAUAGAGUACACGUCAAAUUAUUAAAUUCGAUACGAUAAUUGAUAUUUGAUUUGAGGUGACAAUUCGGUAUUUACUAGAUAAAGUAUACUAAUGUAAAAAAAAUUUCAGAGAGAGAAAGAUAGUAAGCUAUCUGUUGCGUUCUUUUUUUUAAAAAAAAAAUAAACUCAGUUAAAAAUUUGAAGCAAUGAAUACCAAGUAAUAAGUUUACUGUGCUAUUUGACAAUUACUUUGAGAUGACAACUCAGUAUUUAAUAGACAAAGUAUACCAUCUAUUAAAUUAUAUGAAUCCCCAAUACUUUUUCCACGUGGCAAUUUCUCCUUCACCCUCAUCAACCUCUCUUUUGAACCGAACCGUCUCAACCUCUCUUUUGAACCGAACCGUCUCUUUUAAGCUGAACCCCAUUUCUCCUUCACCCUCAUCGACCUUUCUUUUGAACCGAACCGUCUCUUUUAUUUUGAACCGAACCGUCUCUUUUAAGUUGAACCGUCUCUCUACCGCCUCUCUAAAUAGAACCGCUUCUCUCUCUCACUUGUCAUUUUCUGAAUCGAACUGCUUCCUAUGUAACCUCCGAACCGAACCAAACCGUCUCUCUCUCCCCAUUUUGGUUUCUCAAACGGCAAUGGUGCUUCCUUUCCUUCCCAUGCGUUAUUUCCUCUUCCCCUUCAGUUACAGCAUUUUUUCCCUCUCCCCUCAUCCUCAACAUCUCCGAUCACCACAUCCGCGUCGAAGCCCAGACCCAGCACCUUUCCUCCCCGCCACGGACAGAGGCGGCGGCCCAGCACCUUUCGUCCGCCUGAGCCUCCGCCUCUGCCUCCUCCUCCACCACGACUGACAACGACGCCAACGUCGGGUGAGUUGAACUCUAACCCUAGCUCCCAACUCUUCUCCCUCGAUCUCGGCCUCCGUGUCGAAGAUUUGUGGGUUUUCAAUCCUCCUCACAUGUCAGUCUUUGCCCUAAAAAUCCUAUCAGGUGUGAUCUCUUCAUUAAUUUUUGUAUCAAUUUAUGCUUUGUUUCUUGAAUUUGUGUUCAAUCCUCCGUUUCAGUUCCUCUGUUUCUUGAUCCCUAAUUCUCUUUUAGUUGAUUUUAAGUCUUUUUAUUAUUAUUAUUAUUUUGGUUUGCAGGUGUGGGAUUGGAAACGAUUUGCGCCAUACUUUGUCGAUAUAUAUCCUUUUCUAAUUUGGGGUUCCAAUUCAUGAGGCAAUGUAUUUUCUUUCCUUUUUUUAUUUGAUUCCUUAAUUAAUGUGGCACGGUUUUAGGUUUUGGGGUUUAUGUGAUCACUAUAGUUGCAGUUCAUGUAGGUUUUUUCAAUAGGAAUGAUGGUUAAAAAAUCGUGGUGAUUGCCUAAUUAGUGGUUCUCAAGAGUCCUUUUUAAUGCAUUUGUAUAUGUUUAAAUUUGGAAAAUUCGAUAUAGAUGAGGCUGCACUGCUUAAAACUAACAUCUUGAAAUGUGGAGGUUUUGGAUUGGCUUAAAAAUUGAUAUCUUGAAAUGAUAUUCUUUUUAAAAUAGAACAUGGACUACUGAAUGGAUAAAUAAAUAUGAGUACAUCAUAGUGCUGUAACUGAGUAGGUGAGGUUGUACAAUGAUUUCGCUAUUGACUUUGACUAUCAGAAAUUCUUUUUUGCAUCAAUUAAUGCUUUUGUAAAUUUGCACUGUGAUCGGCGAUAGGCUUAAGGUUUUAAAAAGUAGUUGGAGUGCUGGAACUUUAGAACCUUUCUAUUGUGUUUGCUAUGCUUAAGUAUCUCAAGAAAUUUGUAUUUUUCUUUUCUUUUGGGUUGAUUCUUAUGAUUUCUUAUACAUAUUCUUCUUUCCCUAUAGGGUGAACUACUCGGAACUGAUUGGUAUCGUUUAGGAAUUGCGUGUUUCAUGCAUAAUAAUAUAUUUCAAUAUUUAUACUUAAAAUUAUUUUGUACUGUCCAGUUUGACGCCACAUUUUGCACUUAUAGUACUAGCAAUCAGGUGACUUUGUAGAUUGAUUGUGCCCUUCUCAAUUAGGGUUGCCUUUAGAGACAAUUAUGCUUAUUCUCAAGGAAUUUGGAUCCGCCGAUGAGUAAUUUAGUGAUUGUUGAGCUCAUCAUGAUAUUUGAUAUAGAUCUAUGAGAUAUUUUUCAUGCUUUGUUGGUUAGUUGAUCUGGUUAGUUGAUCUGUAUGUGUAGUGUUUCUGUAAGAAUUAGGAAUGGUAUGUAGUUUUAGCAGGUUCAUAUUUAGGACGAUUUGGCCUGAAGGGAGAAGAAAAUAGUUAGGGACAACCAUAAAUGAUGAGCAUUUUGAUUUAUUAAUUGAGAACGUAUGUUGAACAUAGCUUUCUCUACUUGCGUCGUCCUUCCUCCGCUCCUUCGUAGUGCGCCCGCCCGCCUUUCCCCAUCACAUCAAGCUCCUAUACGACCACACUCCUCUUAUCUAGGGUUUUGAUUAUUGUACAAUUUAGAAAUGAUUCUAAAAGAUUGAGGUUUAAUGGUUCCGAAUACAUUCCUGAGAGGUACUUGAGAUUUCUUCUUAAACAUUUUUUCUUUUGUUUAGGCUCAAUAUAUGCUUUCUGUUAUCAGAACCUACUAUGAGUUAAAAUAGCAAUUCCAAUUUUAUAGAACUCAGCAGCUAGCUAUGUUGCUUUUCUGAACCAUUCAUGAGUUUUUUUACUCCUAUGCCUUUUUGCAUUAAAAUUUUAAUUUUAAAUGUUAUUUGCACAUGAGCCAUUUUUUAGCAUAAUUUUUUUUUUGCAUAUCUCAGAUGUGACUCAUUAUAUUGUAUUUUUAUGAUUGCUAUCUAUUAUUUCUUUGCCCUAUUAUUUCUUUGCCACAUCAUCAUAUAUUGGACAAUUAUACGGAUGCUCGCAUAUAGUUUUUUUAUUUUUUUUUUCAGCUUUGAUCCAUUAAGAUAAUAAUUGCAUUGUUAUAUGUGACAUUCAUAUUCUUUGCAAUUCAAAGAGGGGAGAAAUCAAACUUGGUCAAGUAUGUGUAUUUCUCCGGCGAAAUAUUUUUUUUUUCAUAUGAAAUGUUUGUGUCCUGAUCUAUAUGACUUUUUCUUUAUUUUUAAAUAAUUUGGUGAUGCAUCAUAAGAGCAAAUCCAAAACAACAUAGAAAAGUAAUUUUAAUUUGUAAAUUAUUUGCUAAAAUAUUUUUAAAUCUUUUCUCUUUUUCUAACCUGCUUUCAGACUUAUGCCAAAACGAUUGAAACGAUGCAAAAAUGCUGAAAUGAAGAAAGUAGAAUGAAAAUAUAUUGAUUAUUUGCAAUGCUCCUUACCCGCCGCAACGUGCGGGUUCCUACACUAGUAUCUAUGAUAGAUCGUUAUUAACACAAUAAAUUUUUUUUUCACAUUUUUGAAAUUUUUUUACAUUUUAUUUUAUUUUAUUAUAAUUAAUAAUAAAUUUUUUAUUAAUGGUAUAUAUAAUAGAUAUAUUGACUCAACAAUUUUAAAUGAUAACUGAAAACUAAUUUGAAAUGACAAUUCAAAUAUAUUUCAUGAACAAUCUUUUCUUUUUUUUUUUUUGUUUCAAUUAUGUGGUAUAUGCAAUGGGGUCGAAUAUUAGAUCACUUUUAUGUUCAUUUUUGUCUUAUUGAAAUUAUGGCAUAAUUUAAGCACACCCUUUUUUUAAAUUUCCAUUUUAUAUUAUUUAAUUAAUAAUAUUCUUUAUAUUAUUUAGACAAGAUUAACACUAUAUGUCAAAUUCACAAAAUCUAUUUGACAAUUAAUAGUCGAGUUAGAGAUGACAAUACAAUAUUUAAUACAUAAAGUAUAAAUCAUUAUUAAUAAAUUUGACGCAACAUUUGAAUAUUACUUUUAGGUGACAAAUCAAUAUCUAAUUAGUAAAGUAUAUGAUCGUUAUUAAUACGACCACAUAUUUGUUUUUUUUUUUUGUUUUUAUAUUUUAUUUUAUUAGAAUUACUAAUAUUUUUUUAAAAAAAUUAAUGACGUUGUGUAUAUAUGUAUAUCUAUACCGAUUUUAAAUGAUAAUUGAAAACUGAUUUCAUAUGACAAUUCAAAUAUAUUUUAUAAACAACCAUUUUUUAAUUAUUUAGUUUCAACUAUAUAUGUGCUAUACAAAACCAAUUCAGAAUAGUAGAUCACUUUUUAGAUUCUUUUUUUUUCUUUUUAAAAUUACUGAUAUAAUUUAAGGCAUAAAAAUUUAUGAGAAUCCACUAAAUACUCAUGCAUAGGAAUGUUUAUGCAUAAAAAUAUUUUAAAUUAAUGAAUGAUUUGUAAGAUUAAUUAUAUAAUUUUAGAAAAUAUAUAAUGUAUAAAUAAUACUAUUUAAAAGAAAGAAGUGAGAUUUUAGUAGUCAAAAUCUAAAUCUUCUACGGGUAGUGUCCAUGGUUUUUUCCAUUCAAAAAAUAUUAUAUUUUUUAAUUUUAUUUUUUUUAUGCAUAUAUAUAUAUAUAUAUAUAUAUAUAUAUAUAUAUAUAUAUAUAUAUAUAUAUAUAUAGAGCUAGGCGUGUAUACUAUCAUGUAGCACGGAGGCCUCCGUGCUACCAAGUUAUUUUCAAUGAUGCGGCUUCCAAAUCGACGAUCGGCUCCGUUAGACUUGAUCUACACUAUUAAAAUAUUUGGAAAUUAAAUUUUAUAAUUUUUUCACACAUUUGUGUAGUGAUCAAAAAGGUCUCAAAAUUGACAAUUUUAAUGAUAGAUUUUAUGCGUUUGUGAAUUUAACGGUGUAAAACAAUCCAAAUGGUAUGAAAUUUUAAUAGAAAAUUCUUUUCACUAUUUAGAGUAAGAUCAGUACUCUAAUUUUAAAUUCAAGUCUUUAUCAUCAUUUUUUAUGAAAUUUUUAUUUUCAGCCGUUCAUUUUUAGACUACUUGUUGAUAGGUAAAUGAUGCCGAAAAAUUAUGAAAUUUAAUUUUCAAAUACUUUCAAUAAUAAUAGAUCAAGUCUACGGAGCCGAUCGUUGAUUUGGAAGCGCCAUCAUUGAAAACAACUUUGGUAGCACGGAGGCCUCCGUGCUACCGAUAGUUACCAGCCUAGCUCUUCUCUCUCUCUCUAUAUAUAUAUAUAGAGAGAGAGAGAGAGAGAGUGAAGCUACUAUGCUAUCGGAACCGGAGCCUUCUGUUGCUUCCAGCUCGUUUUCGAUGUUGCGACUUUCGAAUUGUCGCCCGGCUCCGUUAAACUUGAUCUAGAGUAUUUGAAGUACCUAGAAAAUAAUUUUAUGAUUUUACGAUAUCAUUUGCCUAGUGAACGAAGGGACUCAAAAUCAACGGCUAAAAAUAAAAAUCUUACAAAAUGUAAUAAUAUGACAUUAAAAUUUUAAAUCAAAGAUAUUGAUCUUGUUUUAUAUAGUAUAAGGAAUCUUCUGUCAAAAUUUCAUGUAAUUUGGAUAUUUCUGCACCGUUAAACUUGCAAACGGCUCACUAUGGCCAUUGAAAUUUGUUGAUUUUGAGCCCAUUCGAUCACUAGGCAAAUGAUAUCGAAAAAUAAUAAAAUUUAUUUUCUAGGUACUCCAAAUACUCUAGAUCAAGUUUAAUGGAGCUGAUCGACGAUUCGAAAGUCGCAACAUCGAAAAUGAGCUGGAAGCACGGAAGGCUUCGUGCUUCCGACAGCAUAGUAGCCCCACUCUAUAUAUAUAUAUUAUAUAGAAUUGAGCUAGAAUACUUUUACAAGUAUCACCCCUUUGGUGUUAUUAGGUUUUUAGCCCUUGGAUCUACUCCUUGAUUACUAAUAGCCCUUGGAUCAAACACUAUUCCACCUACCACCACCUACCACCAUUAUCCCAACCCUAUAUUUUUCUAUCUAAGGGUUAAAAACUUACAAGCACCAUCCUCUUGAUGCUUUUAGAAGUAUUCUAGCUCAACUCUCUCUCUCUCUCUCUCUCUAUAUAUAUAUAUAACGUAAGAUGAUAAAUAUUUUGCUUUCUUGAUGAAGACAUAUCAAUUUUUUUUUUUUGGACAAAAUAGAUAAAUUGUGUAUGGUGGAGAAUUUUUUUAAAAAAAAUAUAUGAACUAGCAGUGAGAAUUUUAUUAAAUUUAUUCGUGUGAGAAAUAUAACACUAUUUUAGUAAAAUUAAUAUUUUAUGUAUAAUAAAUAUAUAUAUAUAUAUAUAUAUAUAUAUAUAUAUAUAUUAUUAUAUUAAUAAUAUCAUAUUUUAUUAGUGCGUGGUGUCCAUGUUAUAUCUAUAUUCUAAUUUUUUUUGAAUCUGCAGAGUCGCGGUGUCCGAAUCAUGUCGUGUUUCAUAACAGUAACGCCUCAAUAGGUAGCAUUUUUUUAAAAAUGUAUAAAUAGAUAAUAAGAUCUGAUCAUAGCUUAUUUAGCUUCAGGCAUGGUAGACCAGAGAAAUUGAGAGAUUUCAUUCAAUAAUAGUUAAAUUUAAAAUAGACAAAUUAUCCAAUUAAGGGUUAAUUUCAUACAUAUUCCUGCAAACAUAGUAAAUAAUAAAUAUAUUCCUAUAAAGUUAAAUUUUCAUAUUUUGUCCCUACAAAAGUUCUGAUGUUUUCAAAUAUAUCCCUGCCGUUAGAAUCCGUUAGAAAAAUUUAGUUAACCACAGGUUAAAUACUUAAUCUUGGUUAGAUUUUGACAUUUUUACCCCUCUUAAAUUAUACUCUUAUGGCUUUCGGAGGGCCAUAUUUAUGAUGGCAAAAUUAAAAAUAUAAACAGUUGUCCAACGGUUCUCUCACGGUAAAUUAAAAUGCUUUUCCAUCAUUUUAUACAAUAUUCAUAGUUAAUUAAUUAAUUGACUUGUUAAAAUAUUAUUUUAUUAAUAAUUAACAUGCUUAUUAUUUAAAUAAAAUAUUAUUAUUUUACAACUAUAUAAUAGAUUUUAUUCCUACUAUUCUAAUCUAACUAUCCACACGUAAGUUUUCUUAUCCCAUUGAAUAACCCAAUUUCCAUCCAAAUACAAAAUUGUUCUAAUUCCUCCAUAUCCCACGAAUAAAUAAAAUUUAGCUGAGAACUGCUAUCGAAGAAGCAUAUAAUCGCAUGCGUGCUAACGGCAAAGUUUUCUUCGCAAUUUUAUAGCAGCAGAGGAAAAAUUGGAAGCACUUUCAAAUUUUUUUAGAUCUCUCAAAGUAUGAAAAAUAGAUGCUUUUAAGGGUAAUUUAGCAGGUUUGCUCCUCAAACAAUGAGAUAGGUGACGCUUUGGUUCUCAAUCUUUAAUUUAUUAUAAUUUCUGGUUUGAACUUUCAGGAGUUAUAUUGUUAAUAUAAAAUUGUGAUUGAUAACACGCUAAUAAUUUAAAUACCACGUCACUUUUUAUAUCAGUAAUGUAUCAAUUUUUAAUAUUGAUUGUUCCUAGCGCAAGUGGCAUAGGGCUUGGUGGUUGAUACCCGAGGUCCCGAGUUCGAAUCAUAGUUUAUUCACAUUUUCAGCUAAGUUUAUUUCUAAAUAAAAUAAACGAAGCAGAUAACAUGCUACCUAUCUCUCAAAAAAAAUAUCAGUUUUAAUUCAACUAAAUUAUUUUGUGGAACUUGAUCGCAAUAAUUCUGAAAGCUCAGGCCCGAUGUUUUCUGCCUGUCGGGACAUAAAAGAAGCGGGUAGCAUGCCACCUAUCUCUCUCUCAAAAAAAAAGGUAUCGAUUUUAAUUCAAUUAAAUUAUUUUGUGAAACUUGAUCGCAACAGUUCUGAAAGCUCGAGCCCGUUGUUUCCUGCCCGCCAGGACAGGUGCUUGGCUUGAAUCUCAUUUAAACUGAAAAGCAGGCUGAAAGUUGUACCUCGCAAGAUUUUAAAACUGUCCUGUAUAAGGAAAAUUUUAAAAUAAUAUAUUUUAUUUAUUAAUUUUUAGUGAAUGGAUGUGAUUCUUCGUGAAAGGAUGCAACCCUUAGUGAAUGGAUGCAACUCUUAAUGAAUUGAUACAACCCUUAGUGAGUGGAUGCAACUCUAAUCAAAAGGUAUGACUCUUAGAGUGAAAGGAUGUGACUUUUAGUGAAAGAAUAUGAUAUGAAAAGACAUAUCUUUAUAGUGUGUCUCUUCGUACAUAUGUCCGUUGGAAUCAAUGGUUAUAUUCAUUGAACUCUAUUCAUAUAACUAUUUGGUAGUUAUGAUCAAAUGAAAAGUCACAAUUGAAAGGUCACUUCACGAAACACCUAUUCAUGAAUAGUCACUUCACGAAGCACCCUUUCGUGAAUAGUCACUUCAUGAAGCACCCGUUCGUCGCCUAUAUAAGUCCAUAGCAUUGGUCGCAGAAGGACAUAGACAGAAAACAGUUGAAGAGUUUAAGUCUCCAUUCAUAAUAAUUCCAUUCUUGUUUUAUAUUCUAUUUCUUUUGACAACUUAAUCGAGUGAGUGCUCAAAGGCUCGACUUCGUGUGUGCAAACGCAGUUGAGGUUUACGCUUCAUUGUAUCCUGGGAGGUUGUUCGUUGACCCGGUGCACACCAAAUUGUUAGAACGGUGGGGACGGAUUAAGCCUUAAGAAAAGUGACAUUGCUACACGCCUUGAAGCCUUUUUAAUCUUUCUAUUUCAUACCUUUAUCACUAUCUGUUCCAACAUCCUGCGUUGAGGCCUCAAACUUCACCAAUUACAAACGAGUCGCAAACCAAAGAACCAGAACCAAUGAUAACAUAAACCUGCCAAGAAUGGAGUGAGGCUGGUAUGUUUCUGAAAGCACGGAGCUCUUCAUGCUUCCGAAUCAUUUUCUAUAUUGGGACUUUCGAAUCGACGAUCGGCUCGUUAGACUUGAUCUAGAGUAUUUGAAAUACUUAGAAAAUAAAUUUUGUGAUUUUUUGAUAUCAUUUGCCUAGUGACCGAAGAAGCUCAAAAUCAAUAAUUUUAAUAGUCACGGUGAACCGCUUGCAGGUUUAUCGGUCUAGAAAUAUUCAAACCACAAAAAAUUUUGAUAGAAAAUUCUUUAUAUUAUAUAAAAUAAGAUUAAUAUUUUUUAUCUAAAAUUUUAAUGUCAUAUCAUCAUAUUUUGUAAUAUUUUUAUUUUCAACCGUUAAUUUUGAAUCCUUUCGAUUACUAGGCAAAUGAUAUCAAAAAAUUGUAAAACUUCAAAUAUUCCAGAUCAAGUUUAAUAAAGCCGAUCGUCGAUUUGAAAGUCCCAACAUCAAAAAUAAUUUGAAAACAUAAAGGACUCCGUAUUUCCAAAAGCAUAUCAGCCUCACUCCCAAGAAAGGUUACAUCAACGCGAGCAGUAU
Molecule: long non-coding RNA, 60659 nt
Filed under: Ananas comosus (pineapple)
Lineage: Eukaryota; Viridiplantae; Streptophyta; Magnoliopsida; Poales; Bromeliaceae
Description: long non-coding RNA (ACOM_LNC021382)
Source: RNAcentral